AAAAAAAAAAAAAAAAAGAGGUAAGAAUUCAAUAAUUGAAACUAAAAGAGCCAAAUUAAGAUUUCUAUUUUAUAACUUAGAACAGAGGAAUGAAUUUCGUUUUCUACUUCUUGUGUUCACUUGUCACUGCAAUUUUUAAAGCUCUUUACGCAAAUGCGGUAAAUUUUCUAAAUAAAAUACAGUGAAAUAAACAGAAAUGUUCAUAAUCAAACAUCAAACGUUAAACAUUUUAAUGAAAAAUACAAAAUUAAGAAAAAAAACUGAGUGAAGUAACAGCUUAUCCACAUGCUUCAAAAGCCUAACUCAACUAACCACCAUUGGUACAGAAAUAAAUGCCGAAUGCAGAUUGAAAAAGAGAGAGAGAGAGAGAGAGAGAGAGAGAGAAUAACGAGAAUUCAGAUCUGGUAGGACCUUCAGUUUGGUCGGUGUCAUUGAAUUCCUUCUCAAGAGCACGAUCGAUCAUGCCGACAAAACUAUCCUCUCUGGAUCUCGGGUCCGAGACAUUGGCCAGAACGGCGGUGACAUUGAUCUCCACCGCCGACCGGGCGUCAAUGACGGCGACGGAAGUGAUGAAUACAAUGAGAUCACAAAUGAAGAAGAGAGCAGAGAAUUCUCUCAUUUCCGAGGUUUUAGUGAAUGAAAAAAAAAGUGAAAGAAAAUAGAGAAAUUAGUAGACGCGUAAAUUAACGAAAGAGAGAGUGAAGCGUAUUGGAAUCGCGCCUUUCGGCUUUUUUCGUUUCCUUCUCCACUCUCCCGCUUGUUUGUUGGAAAAAAUAAUAUUUGUUUAAAGUCAGCUUAAAAAAAUAAAUGGAGGUUGAUGAAAAGGAUACUGUACCACUCAAAUCAGGUGUUAAUCCUACUCAUACGCGCUCAACGGUACCGCGUUCAACAAAUGCCUUGUGUUGUAGCCUUGUAGGUGUUCAUUAGUUCUGUACCCCGCUCAACCCCGCCCACUCGCUUUGGAUCAGAUUUGAGCUUGGGAUGGCAAAAAAAUCCGUAUUCAAUAUGUUUCGACCCGAAUUAAUAGGGUCGGACUUUUUAUUUUUGAAAUUAGAUUUGAGGCUGAUCAAAGUAGAUUUUUUUUAUAGUCAUUGGGUUAAGGUCGAAAAAAGCAAAGGCGACACCCGGGGGCUACCAGGCAAAGGGCCUUUGCCCCCUAAAAAUAAAAUGUUUCAUUUGAUCUCUUUUAGGAAUAAUAAAAUUAUAAAUUAAUUUAAUAAUAAAUUUAUAUUUUAACCCUUAAAUAUGAAAAAAUAUCUAUUUAAUCUCUUCAAAAAUAAUAAAAUUAUAAAUUAAUAUAUAAUAAAAUUAUAUUUUGAUCUAUCAAAAUUCUUAUAAUUUAGUUUUAACCCCUAAAAGAAAUUCUAGAUUCGUCUUUAAAAAAAAUACCUUACCCCGAGAUAAUUAUAAAAUUUCCCUUAUAUAUAAUAUAUAUUAAUAUUAGAUCCUCAAUUCCAUUAUUUGUGUCACUCACCUUUGUAUUCUUCUCCAUAAUUUAUCAUAUUUCUUAAUUAACCUACGGCUUAAAAGUGUUGCAUAAAUGAAAUAGAAAGACAAAAUUAAUUGUCAAAAAAUUUGUAUUCAAAAUGUGAAAAUGUUGCGUAUCAAGAUGGGUGAGGUACAUUAUUUAUUUUUCGAGGCAGGUUUAUGGGGGUUACAUUUUUUUAAGUCAGGGUCGGGACAAGUAAAAAAUCGACCUAUCCUAUUUCGUUGUCAUCUCUAUUUGAGCUAGUAGCAUUAACUGUUUAAAGAUAAUAUAAAUAAUUUUAUAUUAAUAUUUUUAUAUUUUUUAUAAUUUUUAAAAUGGAAAAAUGAAUCAUUUAGACAUAUUAGGCUAAGCUCUAUCUCGAGCUUAGAUUUUUUAGAACUAGGUCUCAAUCUAAUGUAGUUUAUAAACACCUCUAUGUUGUACAUUAUUCCUAAACAUGUUUAUGAAUUGGGUCGAUUUUGGUUUGAGCUAAAUUUUUAUUAUUUGUUCAAGUUUAAAUUUAUUUUGGUUUUAGGUUCAAUUUCAAGGAUUCAAAUUAUCAACUUUUUUUACGAACAAAUCUUAUUGAGUCCAACUUGAAUUUUUGGGCUUGUAGUAUUGAAAAGAAAUAUGUAGAUUAGGCUUAAACUCCGUACAAGACAUGUACCUAAAAUAAAAGCCAGUGACCUAUACAAUACAAAGAUUCGGAGGCCAAUGAUUUAAACAUCAAAAUCCGAUGACAAAGAUUCGAUAAAUAUCCAACGCAAUUAACCAUGUCCAGUUUUUUUAUCAUGGGCGCUAGUGGAGAUCUUCACUUGUAACCUUGACCACGUACCUGUGACAUAAAGAAAUGUCACACUUUUAUCAAAUUUGUGGAUAUCUGGCAAAAAUACUAAAAAAAUAAUAAUUAUAUAAAUGAUUAAAAUUCAAAAACAAUUACUUAAAUAACUUAAAAUAAACAGUAAAUUAGGAUAGGAGACUUAAAUAGCUCACAUCACUUAAAUUUUUGUAACAAUCAUCACUUGUUAAUUUUCUCAAAUGUUAAAAAAAUAUAUUUUUUAGGGCUGGGAGACUUUAAUAGUCGACACCCUUGUAUUUUUUUCACCCGUAUCAUAUUGGUGUAUUUUAUAUGAUUCAAAAAAGUGGUUAUCUGGUAUCCUCAACUCAAUUUUUUUUCAAAUACUCAUGUGAAUUUUUUUUUCAUUAAUUUUGAGAGUGAUUUGAUAAAUAGUAUAGGUUUAAAGAUUAAAAAAGACGAAAAUUUAAAAUAAAAAAUAAAAUAAAUUUUUUAUAAAGUUAAAAAAGGUUAAAUAAAUUAUUAUGAAAAUUACUUAAUAAGCCAAAAUUUACACAACUACACAAGCAACUAAACUAAGGUCUUAAUUUGUUAGGUGAAGAUGAUGGGGCCACCACGAAACUAUGAGGUAACUUCGCCUAAGAUUCAAUUUUUUGUGUCAAAACGAAAAAUAUGUGUUCAAUGUAUAAUAAACAACAGUUUGCAAGCUUGCAUCAACUAUGUAUACGAUUAAAGAAUUUGCUAGGAACUGUUACGUAGCUACGGGUGCUGACAAGGUUCGGGCUACUUAAAAUAAAAAAAAAAAUUAUUUAGAUUUUUUCUUUAAAUUUUAAAUUAAUAAAAAUAAAAUUACACUUUUAUUUCUUAAAAAUGAUAAAAAUUUAAUUUAAUCAUUUAAAAAUUAUAAAAAUAUAAGCUAUUAAAAUGAUAAAAUUAUAUUUUUACUAUCGUAAAAAUUACAAUUUAAUUUUAAUUCCUCUAAAAAAAUUUUCUAACUUCACCCAUUCUAGAGAAAGUAUGAAUCUAUUAGAACAGAAGUCAAAAAAUAUAUUAAAAUAUACAAAUAUCUGUUAAAUACUAAAUAAUAUAUUUAAUUAUGUAAAUAAUAUAAUGAAAUCCAAUAACAUUAAUAUGAAAUUAUUUUUUUUAUUUAAUCAAUAUGUAAGACGUUUGAUGACAUUUAAGUAAUGAUUUUAGGAGAAAAUAUUAUUGAGAAGAAAAAGUUGAGGAUCUAAUUUUAUUUGGUUCUGAAUUUAGUCAAGAUUUAAUACGUCUGUUAGAUAUUUAAAAGGUUUAAAUAUGAUUUAUUUUUUUAAAAUUCAAAUGGAAUAAAAUAACAUUUAGUCAUUAUAUUUGGAAAUUUUUUUAUAUUGGUCUUUAAACUUUUUUUUUGGUCUGUAUUAGUUUUGGAAUUUUGCAACUUUUUCCAAUUAAUUUUUUACUUGGAUUUGGUUAAGGUAUGGUAGUGUGGCAGUUUGAGAAAUUUAAAUAUUUUAAAUAUUUUUUAGAUUAUAUUUAUUUUAAAUUUUAAGUGAUGAAGUGACACAAUUUCAUAAUUUCACGUCGCUCUACUUUAAUAGGAUUCAAGUUCAAUGACUAAAUUAAAAGAAAAAAAAGUCAAGUUUUGAAAUUAAUAUAGACAAAAAAAUCUAGGACCAAAUGACGUUUUAACCCAAUUUAAAUUAAUGAUAUAUCAAUCUUUUUAUCAAAUUCAAAUGAAUCCCUUCACUUUCAAGAGAUCAUCUCAUUUCCGUUAUCAAUCAUGCAAACUAAGUGUAGACAUGCCCCGUAGAAAAGGUCCACUAGUUCCUAAUAAAAUUGGUGUAUUAAUAAACUUUUUAAAAAAUUGUCUAUUAAUUUAUGCUCGAUAAUUUAAGUUCGGGUCUCAUCAUACAUAAUUAUUUUAAAUUUAAGUUAAUCAUAAAUAAGUUUUAUUUAAAUUAAGAUUAAUUAUAUUUUAUAUUAAUUUUAUUCUAAUUAUAAUUGUUCAUAUAUGUAUUAUUUGUGAUUGUAUUAAUAAUUAUACUUUUCGAAUUUGAGUUCAUAUUAAGAAUAAAAAAUAAUUAUGAUCAUGAAAUCCUCAAAUAUGAUAAUAAAAUACUCGAUUUUAGAUCAGUAAUAAUUGAGCCAAAAUUAUAAAUAAAUAAAAAAGUAAAAUACAAGUCCUUGUAUCUCAUUUACACACAAAAAUAAAUUAUUAAAAAAACCAUAGCUGCCCCCCAUGAUUCAUGAAGAGGGAAGAAAAAUCAUGGAAUUUCUACUAAUCUUGUCUGCUAUCCAACAUUAUGAUUAGAUUAAUUUUAAUUAUUAUUUUAUUAUCAUGCAGUAUGAUACUUUUGUUUGUUUGCAUCUUAAAAAUGUUUGAAAUUGACUUCACCUCAAUAAUUUGGAUGUAAAAGGCCAAAAAGAGAGAAAGUUACAUGCUUAUUCAAGGACUGAGCUACUUGCUUUGUUCUAAUAGGCUGGUUUUUUAUGAACCAAACUUUCAAUAUAUUUUGAAUUUACAAUUCAAAUGAUUGAUUUGAUUAAAAUUUUAUUAUUUAAUAAAAAUAUUUUAUUUUAUAUAAAUUUAUAAAAUUUCAAAUUUGGUUCAAUUUGAAUUUAAAGUAAAAAAAUUUAGAUAUUUUCAAAUUUAAAAUUUAACCGUUUGAACACCUUUAAUCGUGUAUAUUAAUUUAUUUUCUAAUGUUUUAGAUGGAUAACUAUAAUAGUUACCUAACUAUGUAUUUAGUUUUAUUUUAAUCAUCCAAUUAUUAUUAUUUAUUUAGUCAUUCAACUUUUUUGAAAUAAAAUAUUUUAAUCAUUCUCUCGUUAUGAGUGAUAGAAAAUUAAAAUGAGUAUUUUUUAUUAAUAUAUUAAUAAAUUUAACUCUUCAAUAUUUAUAUGUUUUAUUAAUUUAAUCUUAAAUCUAAAAAUUUAAUAAAUUUAACUCUUAAUAUUUAUAAAAAUUAUUAUUUUAGUUCUAAUUCUAAAAAUAUUAAAAAUAAAAAUUGUUAUUUAAAAUUUUUAGAUAAAAAUUAUAAAAAUGAUUUAAAAAUCUAAAAAGCAUAAUAAAUUGUAAAUAAAAAUAACAUAAUCAAAUGAUUCAAAAACAAAUGAUCUAAUGUUUAUUUUUUAUUUAAAUGUUAAAUAAACAUGUCGCAGUUAUUUGGUGGUAUUUUGUUAUUCAUUUUUUUUAAAAUUUGAACUUUUAACUCUUUAAUUAAAUUAAAUUUAAAUAGAUUCCAGCUCGAAUUUUUUUCGGAUCGAAUUCUACGACUUCCUCAAGAGUAAACAAAUAAUAGUAUAAUUAGAUAUUUAAUAAAAUAAAAAGUACUUAAUUGCUGCUCUGAUAUCCAAAUGCCGUUAUAAAUAAUAGCCACUCGCUUCGCUCCUUUUCGAGCCUCCCCUCGCUACUUCCGUCCUAAUUUUCAGGAAAAAAUCGCCGCCGUGAUUCAAAACUCAGCCCACUGUCUCCGAUCGUGUCAACUCGUAACCCAAUCUCUCAAAUAUGGAUCGACCCAGAUUCGUAAUCGACGCCGUCGAAGCCGAGCAAAUGGCCAAACAAUCAGGCAAGACGGUGCUCCAACUCCUUCCUUCUUUGGUCAAAUCAGCCCAGUCCGUUGCCCGCCCGCCGAUCUCGAAGUACCAAGUUGGGGCAGUCGGGAUCGGGUCAUCCGGUCGGAUCUUUUUCGGAGCCAAUUUAGAAUUCCCGGGUCUGCCCCUCAACCAUUCGGUCCACGCUGAGCAGUUCCUUAUCACCAACCUUUCCCUCAAUGCGGAGCCGCGUCUUAAAUACUUCGCCGUCUCCGCCGCUCCUUGUGGUCAUUGCCGCCAGUUUUUCCAAGAGCUCCGCGGUGCUCCCGACGUCAAGAUGCUCAUAACUUCCUCCGAUGAUGAAAAGGAAAACAAAAUAAGCAACACUUGUAAUGAUAAAGACCAAGAAUUUACCCCUUUGUCUCAUUUUUUACCUCACAGGUUCGGCCCCGAUGAUUUGCUAGGAAAAGAUGCUCCUCUCCUCCUCGACCCUCGCCGGAACGGCUUGUCGUUUACCUCCGACGGCGGCGAGUACGACGAGUUAAAACACGCGGCUCUCGAUGCGGCGAACAUGUCGUACGCACCUUAUAGCGGGUGUCCAUCCGGAGUGGCGUUGAUAGACGUUGAAGGGAAGAUAUACAAAGGGUCUUACAUGGAAUCCGCCGCUUACAACCCGAGUCUACCGCCAGUUCAGGCGGCAAUCGUCGCUUAUGUCGCCACCGGCGGCGGCGGAGGGUACGAGAGGAUCGUCAGAGCAGUUUUGGUGGAAAAAUCCGACGCCGUUAUCAAACAAGAACACACUGCAAGGCUACUUUUACAGUGCAUUUCACCAAAAUGUGAAGUCAAGGUGUUUUCAGUGUAAAAAACUGUGAGUAUUUAGCUUCAAUUUCUCGCUUAUUUAUGAAUUUAAAAUGAUGAAAUCAUGGUGAAAAAAUGGUAUCUAUGGAUUAAAUGAUGAAAACCCAGAAUGAACAUGUAAAUCACCAAGUGAAUAAUUGUGAUGAUUUGUUAUCUUUUGCAGCUUGGAAUAUAUUGUGUCCUGUGUUUUUGUUCUUUUGUCUCUGUUCUUUAAUGGAUGAAUGGACUACUUUUAGAUGUGAUGCUGAGAAACUGUUGGAUAAAUGCAGUCAUGGUAAAGUUAUUGAUUGAUUGAUGCAAAAAAGGUAAACCAAAAAAGAGGCAAACAUGAGAUUCCCAGUUCCACUUUUGAACUUGGUCGUUUUUUUAGCUUUUGCUUUGAUUGGUGGAUGGUGGAUCCCUGUUGUUAUUGAAUUGCUGCCAUCAAAAGCCAUUAAGCGCUCUCUCAUUACAACAGAUCAUAUGAAUUGGUACUAUAGAUUUGACUCUGGUAAUCUUAUCCCACUCUUCGUAAAUUGUUAAAUCUUUUAGAUUAGACAUAAACAAAAAAGAGUCGACUGAGUCACCAUGGUCUCGAAAAAACUUGAGUCAUCAAUGGUAUGAGAAACAUAAGUCCUUAUAGACUUGAGAAAACAUCAUCAAGAGAGGAGCUGAGGACAAAACCUCUAGUUAAAUUUAUUAUUCCGAGAAACCAUGGCCCUCUUAUGUCGGGAAAAAAAAAAGGAGGCUGAUGGAGGAGAAGGAAGUGGUGGUGAUGGUGAUGGUGGAGAUGAGGGAAAAGAUGAAAGAAAGAGGAAGUGGAAAACGAAGAAGGAAGAGCAAUGAUGUUUGAUCCAGUUUUUUAAAAUGAAAUUUUAACCGAAUGGUUCAACCAGUAAAAUUCAAUACAGUAAUAAAUAAGUGAAUUUAAUAUUUUUUCUUUUUAAAGAAUUUGUGAUCAUUUUAAGGCUGAAAAAAGGAUGGAAAUUGAUCGAUCUUAUCCACCAAAAGUGUCGACUCCAUUAUUUGGCUUUAUCAUAAUAUUGUGGCUUUUACUUAAAGGGAAAAAAGAAGAAGAAAAAAGAACAAAAUAUAUACCCAAUUAUUUUUAAUUUUUUAAAUUAAUAUAAUUAUUCAAAGGGUUAAAGUGAAUUACUGUGGUCUGAAUUCAGUUUAGAAAUUAUUGAAAUUCAUUGCUUUUAUAAAACAAUAAUCAUUAUUAUAAAUAUAUUUGUAAAAUCUAAAAGAUAUAUAAUUAAUAAGAUUUAAACCUACUAAUAUCUCGAGACAUAAAAGUUCGAAGCUAAAGGCUUAAAAUAGGCUGAUAUGUCUCGAGAUAUAAUCAUGUAUUUUGAUAUUUUGACCCGUAAAUCAUAAACUGUUUACAUCUUUGAUUAUUUAUAACCCGAAACGUCGUAAUUUGGCCCAUUUGAGUUCGAUUAACACUUGUAACAUCCUUUAAUUAACCAAUAUCUUGUUUAAUGUGCUUUAACCUUCGAAUUUCAUAAAGUUGCAUGCAUGUAUGUUCAUUUCGAGUAGUUUUGAAAUAGAUAUAGUGCUUUGCAUCUUGCCAUCUUUCAAGUCGAGUUUAAAUGCUAUCUUAAUUUUAUCAUUUCAACUAAAUCCUCUUUUAUUUUUCACAUCAAUUUCUAUAAAAAAUUUUAGUAGCUAAAAUUAAAUUAUAAUAUUUACGAUAGUAAAAAUAUUAUUUCACCAGAUUAAUAACCUUUAUCUUUAUAAUUUUUAAAAAGUUAAAUCAAAAUUUUCUUAUUUUUGAGACCAAAAUAUUUACCUUUACUAAUUUAAAAUUUUAAAAAUUUUAAAAGACUUAAAUAAAAAAUUUUCGAAGGCUUCAAUCUUAAUAUACUAUAAUCUUAUUUUUUUUUUUUUGGUGAUAAUGCUAUGGAGAAUAAUUAGUCAAAUUUAAAUUGCCAUGAUUUUAAUUAAUAUCACGUUUAUCACGAUAUUUUAACCAAAGUCAUUACCAUCGAUUGCGAUGGAUUAAUAAAAAUCUGUAGCACUGCUUAAAUACCUAUAAAUUGAUUAUGUCUUAUAUCAUAUUAGUAUGAAAUAUGUUAGGUAUUAAUCCAAAAUUGACAUUGCAGCUUGUAGUUUCCUUCUGUAUUUUAGAAUCAAAGGCUUAGUCUAAGUGCAAUGAAUGUAAAAAAGAUGGUCAAAAAAGAGUUAAAUAUGCUUGUCGUUAUGAUUUCAAUCUACAACUCAUGAUGUUUAUCUUCAUUUCUUUAUAUUUCUUAAAAGUAUUUGUAGUUGAAUAUAAAUAUAAUAUAUAUAUACAUGUAUAAAAGUAUUAUUUUUAUUUUAAUAAAUAUUUAUAUUUGAUAUUUAAUUUGAAAUUCAAGUAACGUAAGUAUUCAGAUUAAGUCUUAUAAUGUGUAGAUUUUCUUUUCAAAUUUAUUUUGAGUUUAGGUCUUCUAUAUGUAAACCUUAUUUAAAUGUACUUUAAUUCUUAGUUUGAUUGUACUUUAUUUAGAGUUGAUUUUAAUUAUAAUUACUCAAACAUGUGUGUGGUUGUCGAUACUAAAAAUCAACAAGGGAAGAGGUUGGCAAAGGUACAAGGUAGUUCACUAUUCACCUUGGUAGGGCAGAGAGCCAUCGUAGAUGGAGGAAAUUGUCUAUUUUAUCUUUCCUUUUUACUAAGGAGAGAAAGUUUUAUAUGAAAAGUAUGUGAUGCCAUGUGUAAGCAUCUUAUUGGCGAAUGCGUCACGUUAUUGUCUCUUUAAAGAGGUGGCAAUAUGACAAUGCAGGAUGAUUUGCAAAGUAAAAAUUAUGUAUGCCAUUUGAUCUUGUUUCUGGCGGAAAUAAUUGAUGCUAAAAGUACGCUUGAUUAAGCGGUAUUUAAGAAUGAUGUGCGAAUGAAGAAAUGCCACUUUUAAAUAAGAAAGUUAAGAAGUAAUGAAGCUGAAAACUUGAAAGCAAAAUUAUCUUUAUUUUUGCCUUUAAUAUAAAGUUAUAAACAUGAAUGAUUGGUCUUAUAAGGAGUUAUCCAAUAGGAAGUGAUUGAUCUUUUUUUUUUUUGUUAACAAUUAUUCAAUCAUCCUAUUAGUUACAAUAAUUUUGACUAAACUUAACUAUUUAUUAGAUUAAUUUAAAUUUAAAUAUAAUUUAAUCUGAUUUAAUUAUAUAAGUUAAUGAUCAAAUAUGUUCAAUCUAAAAAUUAACUUAAACUCGAAAUAAUAUGAACUCAAAAUAAUCUAAAUUCAAAUUGAUCAAAACCCAAAUUGAUAUGAAUAUAUAAUGACUUGAUUUGAAAACUAAUUCUCAAAUCGAAUGACUCAAGCUCAAAAUACUAUAAAAUAGUCUAAAAUUCAAACUCGAAAUAACUUGAAAAUUACUCUAACUACCCAAUUGAUGCAUAUCGUAAAUUUAUCCAUUAUCUCUUUUGUACCAAAACAGUUGAUUCACAAUAGUUGAGGAAGAUAGUAUAUGAUGAUACAUAUUAAACUUAAUCAACAAAGAAUGACUUAAUUCUUUCCAUUUAUAGUAUAUGAUUAAAAAAUUGAAACAACAACAACAAUGGAGGCAUUCAAGAGGAAACAACAUUCUUCAAUGCCAUAAGCAGCGGCGGCCACGGUGAAUGGUCAGUCCAUUAACAUUGCGAUGCAUUAAUGUCCUUUUCAUCUCCGACGAACAAAUCAUCAGUAGUUCUAAGGAAUCCGUGUGCAAAAACGACCGUCAAUCCGAAUGUAAUGCCACUCAUGAUAUUACUCAUCACAUCGGUCAAGAAAAACACGGCGAUGGUGAACAACGUCAAGACCGUUAUGAUCAUGUUACGGUCGAUGACAAAGCCGUAAAUCGAUAAAGGGUUGUCACGUAAAAAGUAUUGUAAGAACCACGCGAUCAUUAUGACGACAAUGAUGACCAACGAGGUUGGGUGGAAGAACAAAGUGAGGAGGAGGAGAAAAAGCACGACAAUCACGUAGUUCGUCUUGAAAAACACGAUAUUCAUUCUGAUUCUCCGUACCGCUUCAUUUACAUUCGGGGGUAAAUUUAAUGCUCGAAUAUUGAUCAUGUCUUCCCAUUUUCUUCGUGAGCCGAGGCCUGAUCCGAGAAAUUCUCGUGCUUGAACAAUUAAGCUCAAUGACUGUUGUGGCAACUCAGCCGGAAUGGUUCCAUAUGUUGUCAUUUCUUUUUAAUUUUGAUUUUUGAUAUGCAAAGAGUUUUUGGCCUUAAGGGCUAAAUGUCAAAGAAGGAAGAAAGAUGGAAGAAAAUAAACAAAAAUAAAGGGAACAAACUGGUUUGUUGUUAAUUGCUAAAUUUGAGGUCAAGUUUUAAUGGAAGAAAAUAAACAAAAUUUUGUUGUUUAAUUUUGUGGUUUAAAGUUAACCCACGUUGGUUAAGUGUUUAGGUGAAUUCGUUACAUAAAUUAAUUCAAGAUCUUAUCGUAUUCGUGUAAUAAUUUUUAAAUGAUGAGAUCUAAUAAGUUUAAAGUUUGAAUUUCGAUAUUUAUAACAUGUUGUUAUUAGAAUCGAAUCCAAUUCAAUUUGACCUUAAAAGAAAUUUAUAAUGAAACCCAUUACUUUCAAAAUCGGAUAAGAUCAGUUGGUUAAAUCGAUAAUCGAUACCAAUUCAGAAUAAGAGGUUAGAUUGGUUGACUUAUGAACCGAUUGAACCAAUCAAACUGACGAUUAAAUCGGUUGAACUGAUUCUUUCUAUUUCUUUUGAAGUUUACCUGCAUUGCGUUUCUUGAUUACUUUUAGAUUUCGUUUUGUGAAAUCGGGGGAUUGGAUCAACUUGAAGAUCACACUAUUCGACUAUCCGACUAUCUUUUAGUAGAUAUAUAUAUCUUGUAAUUAUAUAUAAAUAUUUAUUAUAAGUGGCAUGUUUUGAGCUUGUAUUUAAGCGUAUGUUUGUGGUUGAUAAUGUGAUUCAUCAUGGAUUAGUAUAUGAUGAUAUAAUGGUUUGGACUUGUUUUGGGAAGCAGUAAGUAUGGUACAUAGAAUGGUUGAGUGUUAAAGGUAUAUUUGGUUAUUAGAUGCUUGGUUAAUGGUUAAUGAAUAUGAAAUAGUACUUUGAUUGUUGAUUUGAAAAGUUUUAGUUGAUUAAGUGAAUUGAAAAAAACUAAAAUUAAAAUAAGUACAAGUGGAAAAUAAUAAAAUAAAGAAUACAUUAAAUUAAAAAAUAACUCUUAAUUUUUUUAAAAAAAUAUAAUUAUCUAAAAAAUUUAACUCCGUAGAAAAAUUUCUCAAUAAACAAACGUAUGAAAGAUUGAAACCUUUUGAAAGAAAAGAAAGGUUAAAACCUUGAAUUUGUUUAUUAAAUCUGUUAGAAAAAACAGUUUGAAAAAAAAUCAAAAGUUGAUGAUAAGAAAAGGCUCAAAAUACAAUUAAAACUAUAUAAAGUAUACAAACGUUAGUGUUCAAUUUUAUCAUUAAGCCUUUUAAAUUUAUUGUUUACUUAUAAAUAUUGAUGUGAGCUUAUAUUCUGAAUAAAAUACUCACUAAAACAGAUGCGUAUAAUUUUGUUUUUGAUUUAUUCUUAAUAAUCUGACAUAUCUUGAUUUAUUAAAUUUUAUAUUAGAUGUUAUUUGAUGAUUUUAACGAUUUUCGCUUUGUAACCAAAACAAACUAAAAGGUAAAGCUCAAUAUAGCAAGUUAGCAACCAUAUGCAAAAGAUUAGCAGGUCAAGACUCGAGUAAUGAAACUUGUGCGUGGUGUCAAAUUAACAAUGAAUCCCUUGGGUUGACGUGCAUAGAGAAGCCUGUUGGAAAAAAAUAGAUUUUUUGGAAACUUUUAGGUAUAUUCUCGAUUAGUAAAAGUGGAUAUUUGAAUAAUAAAAUUAUGGUUUUAUAUUCUAUCCCAUGAAAUCUUUACAACGGUAUAUCAUAUACUCAAAAUAAUUGAGUGAUGAAUGAAAAAUUGAUGUUCAAAGCAAGUCACUUGUGAAUUAUGUCGAGGAAAAUAGAAAGCAUAGUCUCACGUUAGUUAGAUAUCAAGUGUGGAAUAUAUUUAUAUAUAUAAACCAACUAGGUGGUUAUUGAACUUGUUUUUGGGCCGAGCCUAAAAUUUUGGUUGGGUCUGACUCAACCCAUGUAUAUUUCUAGUUAACACUGCGUGUAUAUCUUUUUGGAUAAAAAAUUUUAUUAUUUUCAGAAAAAUAAUAUUUUAACAGUUUUAUUUUUCCAGUUUAUUGUUCCAAAAAAAAUACCACUAUUGGGCACGAAAAUAGUAGAGUUGUUUUAAACUGUUCUUGCAUUUUAUUAUUUUUUUACUCCUAUCUAUUUACCGUUUUAUCCCUUCGUUACUAGUAUAAAUAGAAGGUCAAUUUCCUAUUUUUUACGCAGAAUAGAAAACACAACUCUGUCUUAAAAUCAUUAUAAUAAUUAUUUUUAAAAAAUUAUAAUAUUUAUUUACUUUAUAUGUGAUACAUGUGAUUUGAUCCCUUCUUUUACAUUUAGUGGUUUAUUUCUUCAACUUUUGCAUCUAUUUGUAUUGUUUUGUUGGGGUCCUCUAAUUCAGUGGUGAGAAGAAGGGCCGAAUCUAAGCCAUUAAAAGGCUAUGGUUCAUUUUGAUUGAAAAGAAAGGUAAAGGAAAAAUACCCUUGUAAAAUGUUGAGAAAAAAAAAUCAAAAUCAUAUCUUAAUAUUUAUAAUUUUUAUUUUAUGGAUACAAUUUUUAAAUUAUUCAUAAUUUUUAAUCUUUAAGGUGAAAGUUAUUACUCAUUUUAAUAUGUUUGAAUGUACGUCUUUUAAGUUUUUGAAAAAGUAUUUUGAGAUCAGUUUAUAUAUUUUUUUAACUUAAUUUUUUUUGGUUUGUUGUCUUUUGCUCUCUUUUCUUCGCUUGAGCACUAAAAGUAUUGCUGUUUCUUUUGAAUCGAUUGUAUGUUGUUUAAAUCGAUUCUUUACUUCUUUAAAUUGAUUUUUUUGUUGAUUGAAUCGAUUCUUUUUAUUGUUUGAAUCAAUUCAUUGGUGUGUAAACUCGAUUCAAAUGCCAACAAAAAUAAAUAAAUACAAUGGAUUUCUAUGAAUGGUAGCAACCAAUGGCAAGUAUAUUUUAACCUUGAACACAAGGGUAUUAGUAGGUAUAUUAGACAAAGUAAAUGAGCUAAAUUCUUGAAAAUAAAAGUGUAGGGAUUAAAUUCUAAAUUUGUGAAAAGUACAUAGACUUAUAACAUUUAACCUUUAUACUACAAAAGAUUUAUUAUUAAUAUAUUUAUAAUUGUAAUAAAUAUUUAUUAUUAAAAUAUUAAUAUUGAAUAUUUUUCAAUAAUAUAUGAAGAAUAUAAUUUAAAAUUUAUUAUUAAAAUAUUAAAUAACUUAUUAAAAUAAUAAAACAUCAUAUGAUUAGAUAUAGAAAAUUAAAUAUGUAUGUUUAAUAAUAAAAGUUAUGAUAUUUUAUAUUAAUAUUUUAAAAAUAAAAAUUUAUUAUUAAUAUAAUGGUAUUAAACUUGAUUUAAGUUAAUUUUUAUACAAAAAUAAAAUCACCCAUAAAGGAGUUGUUGUUUCCACUGUUUUACUAUAUAUUGUUUUCUUGUUGUGUUUUGUUGUUGUUUUGCUGUCAUUUUGCUGUUAUAUUGUUACUAUUUUAUUUUAUUUUUUUAUUGUUGUUGUUUAUAUAUUGUAUAAUUCUUGUUUUAUUGUUAAUUUUGCUAUUAUUUUGGAGGCAUUUGUUAAAGUUAUACAUAUUUUAGUGUUAUUUAAGUAUAAAGACUUUUUUAAUUUAAUUUAUUUUCAAUUUGUUGAGAAAUAUUUAUCUUAAUGUUUUUAGUGUAUUUGAUGUAUUAUAUUUUUAAAUUUGUUUUAAUAUGAAAAACUUAUAUAUAAAUAAAUUUAAUAUGGUUGGGCUGGGCUCGGGUUUUAGCAUUUUUUAUCAAAUGGGCCUGAAAUUUUGUUACGAUCCAGCCCGACCCAUGAUCACCUCUACCAAGUUUCCACCUCCUUAAAAAAAUGAUUUAGUUUUUACACAAUUGCCCUCAUUUUUCCUCAAUUUACUGGUUUUUGAAACAAUCAGUCCAUAACCGCUAGACGUUUUACCUUCAGUAUGUCGCCGUUAGAGAGAUCUAUUAAGAAGCCAUCUUGCACACUCAAAGUUUCGAGUAGAUGGUAAACUAUUCUCCCUUUUUUUAAAAGGUUUAGUUGUAAAAUAUUUAGUCUCUUAUUUACAUUUGAUUUGUUUUGACAGGUGUUUACGUGUGCAAGAAGGCAAGUGCUAACCCGUAUGAUCAGGUAAGCUAUCUUCAAAUAUAAAUAAUCAAAAACAUUCUGUACUUGUUUUUUUUAUUUUUAUCAAUAUUUUAUUAGCAGUUGAAUCUUUUCUCGUCCUAUGACUUCCUCCUUUUGGUAAAGUAUUUUAUAAGGUAGGUUCUUUUUUACAAAAUAUAUUUUUUGUCGUUGAUGAUAUAAGUUACUAUUAUUUGGUGUUUUUUUUAGCACACUAAAAUUAAUAAUUGGUGGAAGCAAAAAGCCCAAAUAUACAUGAGGUUCAAAUGGGCCCCUAUCCUAGAUAUUUAUGAAGGAACAUACAUCGUGUCCGAAAAUAAUAUGGUUUGUUCCUUUUUUUCAAACUAAUUUUGUGUUUUUUGUCUAAAACUAUUUAAAAUAAUAUGUUUUUAUGAUUGGCAAAUUAACAUUAAAAUCCAACACGAUAGUUUUGAUGAUAUUUUAAAGAUCGACCUUCUGUAGGCUUUUUGUUGGCUUUGUUUUGGUGUCAGUUUUUGGAAUUUUGUCUUGUUAGUUUGAUUAAUUUAUUUGUCUAUAUACAGAUCUGAAUUUGAAGGCUAAACUUUUUUGAAAGUGUCACACAUGCUGUUGAAGGAUGCGAGAAGAGAGCUGGAUUUGUUUAAUAGUAAGGAGUGCAAGAACGAUACUCAAACUUUAAAUUUUACCCUUUUUGACAUUUUAAUUACUAUUAAAAAUUAUGCAACAACUUUUUACUCUUUUUUUUUUUCAAAAUUUUCAUUUUAGGUUGGACUUCUUUGAAAAUAUCACACAUGCUGCUGAAGGAUGUGAGAAGAGAGCUAAAUUUGUUUAGUACUAGGGAGCGCCAGGAACUAUAAUCAAACUUUAAAUUUUACCGUUUUUAACAUUUUAAUUAAUUUUAAAAGUUAUGCAAUAACAUUUUAUUUUAUUUUUUUUAAAAUUUUUAUUUUAAAUCAUGCACAUAAGGGAAGUGAAUCCUCUAUUUAUAGGCAAAGCCUUAAAACAUCAACGGUUGGGACUAAGUUACAUGGUCCACUAAGAAUGGUGGAGAUCUAAUCUCAACUAACUCCCAAGUCCAACCACUCAUAAUAAAUGUUAUACAAGAAGUGUGAUCAAGUGUAGACAAGCCUAAGUACAUCCUUCUAGAAUCUUCCAAAGGUUUUGUAACGUCCAAAGAAUUCCUAAAAUUUUUAAAAGCACUGAGGUCUGGUGUAUGCCUCGAAUUUGAUAUAAAUCCCAGUGAAUUAUUAAAAUUUUAUUAGAAAAGGAUUUUAUUGUCAAUUCAACCAAUUCGAAUUAAUUCAAACAUCAUUUAUUUUAAAGUGACAGUAAAUAUUAAUUUUGAUUUAAACUAAAAAGAAAUAUGAUAAAUUUCGAAUACAACCAAGGUUAAUUUUAAAAAAAAGUUUGAGGGAGCUUCAAUUCUUCAAUUGUUCGGGUCUAAUAGGGUUUAAGUUAAUCCUCUACCCCAUAAUAAUUACCAAUAUAAUUGUCGUUUUAAAAUUACAUCUAGAAAACAAUUAUUAUCAUUAAAAAAUUAAAAUUUAUUAUUCUAUUUUGAUAAAUAAAUAAAAUAAAACUGUGGCACAAAUUGUUAUAGAAGGGUACAUUCGAAGAUGACUAUAGGUUCUAAUGAGAACCUUGAUAGCAUUGAGUUCUCUAUUGUGUCCACUUUUUGAAGAAAAUAUUAAUUUUGAAGAAGUUGAUUAUAAGUUUAGAUUACGAUAUAAAUAUUAAUUUCACUAAUACGAAUAAUAAAUUCUAGAAAGUAUUAUUUUUGACGAAGUUAAUUAUAGGUUAUGAUAUAAUAAUGAAGAAAUUAAAGGAGAGAAAAUGGAUUGCUUCCCCUCGUUGUGACAUUAUAUAUUAUUAAUUUUAGUAAUUAGACUUCCCGUCUAAUAAGGCUAAGGUCAUAUAUGUUCACUCUUCCUUUCUUUUUGAUUGUUUCUGCUGCCUUCCUCCUUCGCAGGUUCCUGUUGCCGAUUGCGUCAUUUGUUUGUUGGUUUCUGGUUUCUGUUAUGGUGGCUGAUGGAGUGGGUUUGGGGUUAGGGUUGAGUGUAAAGGCAGUUGAUUGGGAGAUGAGGGCUUUGAGUGUAAAGGCAGUCAAUCACAGUCAAUUCCGUACAUCUAAAGAGAUAUAUACUGAUCAUAUAUAAUAAUAGAACUAUCAUUAUUGUUCUAAAACAAAACUUUUACCCACGCAUACUUUUCUAAACCCUAGCUAGCUAACAUCAACAACAAUGGCAGUCCAAGGUUUGCCCGAUGAGCUUCUUUGCUCUUUCUUUCCUUCCCUUUCAUCAUUCCAUAAGAAUAAGUUGUUUAUCCACGAGAUUUCGAUACUUAUGGGGGUCGGUUCCCAUUCUUGAUCUGCCGGAAAAUCAUUAUAAUUCCAGCUAUCCCUUCGACGGUAUCAUGAACCAUGUCUUGAACAACCACGAAAACUUGACAAGUGUCCGUAGGAUUUUUCUUUCGUUAGAAACUGCUACGUACAACAAAUCCGUGAUUUCUUAGUGGAUCCAUCUCUCUACCACUGCCACUUCGUCUAACCUCGAAGAGUUUCAUAUUGAUAUACCUCUCGACUAUUUCAUUAAUUUACCUCGUGCGAUCUUUACGUGUCAGAAACUCAAAACUCAAAACUUGUUUAAAGGGGUCCUAGUCGACAAAAUCCCGACCGACGUCCGUGUUUUCUUUCCAUGUUUCGAGACCGCCCGGCUUGAAUGAGUUCCGAUAGUUUCUUUAGCUGCCCACAGCUCAGGAUUUUCGUCGUCGAAGAUUGCGUUCUUCACUCAGAUAAGAUCCUCUUGUCGGCCACGGUUACUGUCAAGAAACUUUAUUUAGAAUACCAUGAAGAUGGUGAUUCAAAUCGUGUAUCAUCUCAAGCUUCAGCAAGCACUGAUGUUACUGAAAGUUCUAAAGACGCCUUUGAUUUUUUGAAGUCCAUCUCUACUAUGAUAAAGCACUUGGAUUGAAGGAGCAAUUGUUUGGAAAAUUUUAACGCAUCUUGUGAUUGAAGUCAAAAAGCAUUCGUUUCAAGAUUUAUCUUCCUUAUUGGAACAUUCAUCUAAUUUGAUUUCUUUCCUUCUAAUGAAGGUACGUACAUCACAUCUCAAUAAGUUUUAACCUUAAUUUCUUUUAUAUUAUCUAUUUUAUAUGAUAUGAAAUUAAACUUUUUAGUUUUAUAUCUAAAAUUUUUUUUGAAGGGUUUAAUUAAUGGUUAUUACAGGAAUGGUGGGAGGAUGAAUUUGCAACAAUUGUAUUGCCCAGCAACGUUUCAUAUAGCAAACUUGAGACAGUUAUAUUCAUUGAUUGCUUUGAUAGGUAUAUUGUGCUCCGCUUUUGGGAGAAAGCAUCGAUUUUGAAGAAGUUGAUUAUAGGUUAUGAUCAUACCAUUGAUAUGACUGAGAUGCUUAUUGUGCUCCACUUUUUAGACAAAACGUUGAUUUUGAAGGCACUAAUUAUAGGUUUAGGUUACAAUAUAAACAUUGAUUUCACUCAUAAGAAUAAUAGGUUUGUUGCGGAAAGGAUCGAUUCGAGAACUCCGAUAUGACUACAAGUAAAUUGACCGAAACGAAAAAUAAAGUGAACACAAGGAUUUACGUGGUUCGGCUUUAAUGCCUACGUCCACGGGCAGAGGCGAAAAGAAAUUUCACUAUAACAAGAUGAAGAUUACAAGUGUUUUACACUCAAGACACAACCCGAGAACCUCACAACUCUCAACCCCUAUAGAAAACCCGAAAGCUAAAAUCCUAGCUUUCAAAGAACAAGCUUUGCUCUCUCUUGGUUUGGGAUGAUAAAUAUGGCUAAUGAACCUCUCUAUUUAUAAGAGAGUUCAAGGACAUAAUUGUCCAAAACUUUGGCAAAGAUUUGUGGUUGAAAAUGGACACCAACAACCAUCCACUAAUCCACUACCACCAACAACCCACUACCAACAACAACAAUCCACUACCAAUUUUAAGCCAUUUCUUAACAAAUCUCCACCUUGGCUUGAAAUUUACCAAGCUGAACAUCAUAGUGAAUUCCUCGAACUGGAUCACCUCUUCCAAACGCCUCUCUGGCGCUAAUCAAUCCCGAAUACCUAUCAAGUCCAAGCAAUGCUUGAACUUAUAUGCAGGGAUCACCUUAGUUAACAUAUCUGCAGGAUUCUUCUCGGUAGCAACCUUGCUGAUAACAAUGUCACCUUGCGUAACAUGUUCCCGAACAAAAUGAUAUCUGACAUCAAUGUGUUUGGUCCGUUCAUGAAACAUCUGAUUUUUAGUCAGAUGUAUGGCACUCUGGCUAUCGCAAAAUACAACAGUGAAAUCCUGUUGUAAACCCAAACUGCUUACUAGACCUUUCAUCCACAAUGCUUCUUUCACUGCUUCUGCUAACGCCAUAUAUUCCGCCUCAGUCGUAGAUAAGGCUACGGUAGACUGUAACACAGCUUUCCAACUAAUGGCUCCUCCAGAAUAAGUGAAAACAUAACCCGUCAGAGAUCUUCUUUUGUCCAGAUCUCCAGCAUAAUCAGAGUCCACAUAGCCCGUGACACUGCUAGUGCAGUCACUCUGAUCAUAUACCAAGCAUAAAUCUGCAGAACCUCUCAAGUACCUGAGAAUCCAUUUCACGGCCUGCCAGUGUUCCUUGCCAGGACAACUCAUGUAUCUGCUGACCACACUAACUGCAUGUGAAAUGUCUGGACGAGUGCAAACCAUUGCAUACAUCACGCUUCCAACUGCACUCGAGUAUGGAAUGUGAGACAUUUGCUGCUUUUCUUCAUCAGAUUGUGGUGACAACUCUGCAGAGAGUUUGAAAUGUGGUGCCAACGGAGUACUCACAGUUUUCGCUUUAUCCAUGCCGAAGCGUUGAAGAACCUUUUCAAUGUAGUUCUUCUGCGACACACGAAGCUUGCCCGCCUUGCGAUCUCUGUGAAUAUCCAUGCCCAAAAUUUUCUUGGCAGCACCCAGAUCCUUCAUCUCGAACUCACCACUCAACUGCGACUUUAACUUGUUGAUUUCCGACAUGUUUUUGGAAGCAAUUAACAUGUCAUCAACAUACAGCAACAAAUAAAUGUGCGAACCAUCUGAGAGCUUCCGAUGAUAGACACAAGCAUCAUAGUCACAUCUUGUGUAACCAUGCUGAAUCAUGAAGCUAUCAAACCGCUUGUACCACUGCCUUGGGGAUUGUUUCAAUCCAUAUAAAGACUUCUUUAAUAGACAGACAUGGUCUUCUUUACCAGGAACUGUAAAACCCUCUGGUUGACGCAUGUAGAUUGUUUCCUCGAGCUCACCAUGCAAGAACGCCGUUUUUACGUCAAGCUGCUCAAGUUCUAGAUCAGACUUGGCCACCAUGGCAAGUAAUACACGAAUGGAAGAAUGCUUUACGACUGGGGAGAAAACUUCAUUGUAGUCAAUCCCCUCUUUCUGAGUGAAGCCUUUAGCAACCAAUCGUGCCUUGAAUCUAGUUGCUUCAACCCCUAGGAUGCCUUCCUUUUUCUUGAAGACCCAUUUGCAACCAACUAUCUUUUGGUUACUUGGCGGCUUAACCAACUCCCAAGUAUGGUUCUUGUGAAGAGAUUCUAUCUCCUCACUCAUAGCAAUUGCCCACUGUGCCGACUCAUCACACGUGACAGCCUCAUUAUAACUGGAAGGUUCUAUACCAAUGGACUCCGCCACACUGAGCGCGAAAGACACCAGAUUAGCGUAACGCGGAUUUGGUUUGAUUUGUCUCUUCGUUCUUCCAGUGGCAAUGCUAUAUGGUUUUUCUUGAGGUGACUCAUCUUCAUCGGAAUCUUGCACCUCAACUUGAUCAUCCUGGACUGAAGUACCUUCCGUAGGAAUUGGAGCGUCCACCUGACACUCCACCUGCUUCUCAACACCGUGAUCUCCCAUUCUAUCUGACUCCUCCUUUUCCCGGGAAUUUGUGGUGGAUCGAAGCAUGGAUGACUCAUCAAAAGUCACAUCUCUGCUGAUGAUGAACUUGGACGAAACCGGAUCAGGACACCACAACCUGUAUCCUUUCACCCCUUGGCCGUAUCCAAGAAAUAUGCAUUUCUUCGCCCUCGGUUUGAGUUUUCCCUCAUUUACAUGAGCAUACGCAGGGCAGCCAAACACUCUUAAACCAGAGUAAUCAGCAGGAGAACCAGACCAUACUUCCUCAGGAGUCUUCAGCUCAAUAGCUGUUGACGGAGAUCUGUUAACCAAAUAACAAGCAGUAUUAACAGCUUCAGCCCAAAAUUCUUCACCGAGCCCAGCAUUUGAUCGCAUGCAACGAGCUCGCUCCAAGAGAGUUCUAUUCAUGCGUUCUGCAACUCCAUUUUGUUGUGGUGUUCGACGAACAGUGCGGUGUCUCACUAUUCCUUCAUUUUUGCAGAACUCAUUGAAUUCACCUGAGCAAAACUCCAAGCCAUUAUCCGUCCGGAAUCGCUUGAUCUUCUUUCCUGUUUGAUUUUCGAUCAAAGCUUUAAAUUGCUUGAAGUUGAUGAGAACCUCAUACUUGCUCUUCAGAAAAUACACCCAAACCUUUCUCGAGUAAUCAUCGAUAAAGGUAAGCAGAUAUCUGUAACCACCUUUAGAAAUUGUCGGAGAAGGCCCCCAAAGGUCAGAAUGGAAGUAAUCCACUGUGCCUUUUGUCUUGUGAAUCCCAGUGCUGAACUUUACCCGAGUCUGCUUACCGAAGACGCAGUGCUCACAGAAAUUCAACUUUCCUGUACACUGCCCAGACAAUAAUCCUCGUUUGCUUAGCACCGAUAAGCCUCUCUCGCUCAUAUGCCCGAGCCGCAUAUGCCAUAACUUCGUGGUGUCAGAAUCUAGAUCAUCUGAUGAUGACACUCCCGCAACACCUGUAACCGAGGAACCAUCGAGGAAGUAAAGGCCCCGCUCCAAAUUACCACGUAUCACAGUCAAAGCACCCGAGAAUACCUUGAGAACUCCACCUUCAGCAGAGUACCGAAAGCCUUUCUUGUCCAACGUACUCAAAGAGAUCAAAUUUUUCUUCAUUUCUGGAAUGUGCCGAACAUCAGUUAGAGUUCUAACAAUACCGUCAAACAUCUUUAUACGAACUGUGCCAAUCCCCAUGACUUGACAUGCGUGGUCAUUUCCCAUUAGUACUGAACCAGAAUGCUUCUCGUAUGUUGAGAAUGCAUCUUUCGAAGUACUUAUAUGAAAUGUAGCUCCCGUAUCAAGAAUCCAUCUCCCACCAGCGUAAGAGUCGGAUACUGCAAGAACGAUCUCGGCAUCACUUGAAGAAUCUGCAUCAGCUACAUUCGCACGAUCAUUUUGUUGCUCCUGUGAUUCUGAUUUCUCCUUCCUUUUCGGACAAUCUACCUUCAUGUGCCCGUACUUCUUACAGUAGUAGCACUGUAUUCUCUUCUUGGACUGCGAUCUAGGAUGGCUUUUACUUGAACUUCCACCCUUUGCCUUGGAUCUUCCUCGAGCAACCAAGCCUUCGCCUUCAUUGUUUUCGACCACCUUACCAGUGAUUUUCUUCCUCAACUCACUGGAACUUAAGGCAUUUUUCACCUCCUCUAGAGUCAGGUCAUCACGACCGUACAUCAUUGUAUCAACAAAAUUCUCAUACGAGGGAGGCAAAGAACACAAAACAAUUAUUGCUUGGUCCUCAUCAUCGAUUUUGUUAUCGAUAUUAUUCAAAUCCAUGAUAAUGGAAUUGAAUUUAUCCAGGUGCUGGGAAACAGGUGUACCUUCCUCCAUCUUCAGGGCAUAGAGUCUUUGCUUGAGGUAGAGCCGGUUCGUCAAUGACUUCGUCAUGUACUUGCUCUCUAACCGGAGCCACAAACCGGACGCGGUUUUCUCAUCCGCUACUUCUCGUAGCACUUCAUCUCCUAGACAUAGCAGAAUAGCACUAUGUGCUCUUUCUAGCAUGUCAUCCUUUUGCUCUUCCGAAAGCGUGCUUGGUAAUUUAUCUUUACCAGACAAUGCUUUUAGCAAUCCUUGUUGAACCAGCACUGCCCGCAUCUUGAUGCGCCAUAAACUGAAACUAUUUUUCCCGGUAAAUUUCUCGACAUCAUACUUAGUCGAUGAAACACUUGUAGCCAUAAUUUGGAACCUUUGAAUGAAUGAUAAUAUUUUCUUCCUGAUGUGAAAGAUCAGACAAAGCUGCAGUCACAGGGCAAUUCAGAAAAUAUUAUCACUCCUUCAACUACGCUCUGAUACCAAUUUGUUGCGGAAAGGAUCGAUUCGAGAACUCCGAUAUGACUACAAGUAAAUUGACCGAAACGAAAAAUAAAGUGAACACAAGGAUUUACGUGGUUCGGCUUUAAUGCCUACGUCCACGGGCAGAGGCGAAAAGAAAUUUCACUAUAACAAGAUGAAGAUUACAAGUGUUUUACACUCAAGACACAACCCGAGAACCUCACAACUCUCAACCCCUAUAGAAAACCCGAAAGCUAAAAUCCUAGCUUUCAAAGAACAAGCUUUGCUCUCUCUUGGUUUGGGAUGAUAAAUAUGGCUAAUGAACCUCUCUAUUUAUAAGAGAGUUCAAGGACAUAAUUGUCCAAAACUUUGGCAAAGAUUUGUGGUUGAAAAUGGACACCAACAACCAUCCACUAAUCCACUACCACCAACAACCCACUACCAACAACAACAAUCCACUACCAAUUUUAAGCCAUUUCUUAACAAGGUUCGAGUUUUAUUAUAUGAAAGUAUUAUUUUUAAAGAAGUUGAUUAUCAGUUACGAUAUAAUCAAUGAAGAAAUUAAAGGAGAGCUUAUAGAUUGCUUUCCCUCAUUGUGAAAUUGUAGUUAUUAGACUUCCUUAUUUUAUUUAUUUUAUUUCUUAUGAGAAUAAUAUUUCAUUCGUAUUUAAUAUGUGCAUGGUUCAAUGAUGUAUGUUUUUUCAGUUAAAUUUCUGGUUUAAAAAUCAUAACAAUUGGUGCAUGUUUUUCUUUGAUUUUUAAGUUUAAUUUGUUGAGUUUUUAUGAUGAAAUCGGUUUGGGUCAAGUUUAAUUUCGAAUUUAUUUUUUAAAAUUUAUAUCAUAAUUAAUAAAUUUAUUUUUAAAUUUUAAUGGUGAUCAAAUCGAAUUAUAUCAAAUUAAAUCCAAAAUUGUAGUAUUUGAGUUUAGGUAAGCUCAAUUUCUUUUUCAAAAUUUUCAUUUAUUUUGAGAAUGCUUAAAUUUUGUGCUUAAAAAAUAGAAAAAAGGGGGUAAGUUCAUCGGUUUAAUUUUGAAUUUUUAAAAUUUAAUUAAAUUUAUUUAUGAAAUUAAUUUAAUUUAAGUUUAAAAUGUAAUAGUCAAAUUUGAUGCAUAGUUAAAAUUAGAAUUAAAAAAAUUUAAUUGUAUUAUGAAUAUCUUAUUAAAUAGACGUCUAUCAAAAUUAAAAUAAAUUUUAAUAUACUUUAAAUUUUAAUAAUUUAUAAUUUAAGGAUUUCUAGUAGAAUUAACCCAGAUAAAUAAUUCAAGUUAAAAUAGUUAAUGGGUCGUACCUACCCAACAAAAAUGGUGUGCGAAUCUCCUAAUGUGGUGGAUGUCUUUUGGCCUCAUUUUCAGAGUACAAUAUGGCGAGGUGGCACGAACUGAUUGGCUCAAUUUGUACUCCAUUUUCUUAAAAUUCCUUUUUUAAUAAUAGUUUGACAAUUAAAUAUGUUAAAAACACUGAAAACGAGCAAGGUACGAGAAAGGACAUUUUGAUAGAAAAGAAUAAGACACGUGGAUACCAAUAAAAUAAAAGGAAAAACGACACUCAAGACUACUAAAUUAUUAGUAAGUUUACGUUAUAGUCACUUAAUUUUAAAAAGUUACAAAGUUGUUAUUAAACUAUUUAAAAUUUUUUAUUUAAGUCAUUAGGCUAUUAAAAUCAUUGUCAUAUGGUCUUCUCCAUUCAUAUUGCCUACACCAAUGAAAGCUCUCAUUCACCUUCUCUUCUGCAGUUCAAUAUUUUUCUUAUGAAAUUGUUUUGAACAUUGUGAAUUUGCGAACCAAAAUCCUAACAACUUUCUUCUUCAAUCUCCAAAACUUAUUGUCAGAUUGCCUCGGAUUUAAGGCAUGUUCUUCUACUUGUAGAUAGGUACUGAUCCACUGUACAGGUCUUUGAAUUAUUGUUUGGAGCUCGCUAGCCAAACUUUUAAGACAAAAAAAAGUUAAUACCCCAAUAGCUUAAAUAAAGACUUUUAAAUAAUUCAAAGACCGUUUUGUAGCUUUUUAAAGUUGAGUGACCAAAACAUAAACUUCUUAAUAGUUUAGUAAUAUUGUGUGUAGUUUACCCAAAAAAUGACUUUUCCUUUUGUACUUAAUAGUUUAGUCAAUUUUAUUAUAAUAUUAGUAUACUUAAUAUUUAUUUAAGCUCGAUUCAACGUGAAAUAUAAGCAUCAAAUUUUACUAAUUAACUCAAGUUUGUUUUAGGUUUGCUCAUAUUAUUUUUUAUUUAAUUUAAUAUUUUAAUAUCUUGUAUUAAAAUUUUAAAUAUGGAAAAUUAUGCAAAAAGUCUAAUAUUUAUAUUAUAGUGUUAUAUAUUAUAAACUUUAUUUUUAUGUGAUAUAUAUUAUAUAACACGUAAAAUUAAAUAAUAUAUAAUACAUUAUUAGACAACGAGACAGCUCAAGAUUGGGCCUUAAAUGUUGGAAUCCAAACUAAAUUCAUAUUUUAAAUGGAUUUAAUUUUUUUGUUUAAGUCCAUAUGUGGAGUCUAAUAUUUUUGUUUAAACCCUUUCAAAUUUCAAAUAAAAUUUUGAGAUUGAACGAAUAACUCGAUCCUCGAACAGGUCUGCUCUGGCACUUACCCACGUGGUGACAUCCCAUUCGAUAAAUAAGACUAAUUAUGGUAAUUUAUUUGGGAGGACGGUUAUAAUUUUAAAUAAUCUAAUUAAUAAAAAAAUAAAGUAUUUUGAAAAUAUUUUACCCCAAAGUUUUAAUUUUUUUUCAAAAUUUAUCUCUAACAACAUUAUAAAAAUAAAAUUUUGGUUAUCAGUGUUAAAAAAUUAUAAAAAUUAAAGGACAAAAUUAUGUAAAAUUAAAAAAACAGGGAUUAAAAUUUAAAUUUCAGCCUAAUAUGACCUACUUUUUAAAUAUGAUUUUAAAUAAUGUUAAACAAUGAUUAGCGAUUUCCCCAAACAGAAAAUAUAGGAGUAAGCAGACAAAUUAAAAGAAAUGGAAAAGCAAAAUAAACGUGGGAAUCUCUCUCUAUAUAUACAUAUAUACAGCUUAGAACACUGAAUUCCUCCUCCAUUAAUUCCUUUGAAAAUCUCUGGAAAACACUCAGAUUGUUCAAAAGAAAGAGUCAAUGAAAAUGGAAGAGUCGGCGGCGAUGAAAGAGAGCACCAGAGCCGCCAUUCGCGACGGAGACGAUGAUCAGAAAGCUUCGUUAGAAGCAAAGGAAAUGAGUGUCGUCGAUGAUAUGAUCAAUGGUGGAGAUUUAUCGUCGUCUUCAACGGAUAUUUUGGUGGAGCCAAUGGCAGGGAUAAACGGGUCGGGUCCACCGCCAUUUUUGACGAAAACGUUUGAGAUAGUUGAAGAUCCGGAAACCGACCCGAUUGUUUCGUGGAGUAUCCAUCGCAAUAGCUUCAUUGUUUGGGAUUCUCAUAAAUUCUCUGAAAAUCUCCUUCCCAAAUAUUUUAAGCACAAGAAUUUGUCAAGCUUUAUUCGCCAACUCAACACUUAUGUAAGUCAUUUUAAUUUAACCCAAUUUUUUCUCUAAAUUUUGCAGUGAUUUUUUUUAAAAAAAGAAUACAAAUUUCCGGGUUUUCUUCAGGGGUUUAAGAAGAUCGAUUCUGAUAGAUGGGAAUUUGCAAAUGAAGGGUUUCAAGGAGGAAAGAAGCAUUUGUUGAAGAAUAUUAAGAGGAAAAAUAGAUAUAAUUCAAGUAAUAUUAAUACUGAAUUGGAAGCUGAGAUUGGGAUUUUGAAGAAAAAUCAGAGUGAAUUGAAGAUGGAAAUUGUGAAAUUGAAGCAAAAAAAUGAUGAAUCUAAUGAUAAACUGGAAGCUGAGAUUGGGAUUUUGAAGAAAAAUCAAAGUGAAUUGAAGAUGGAAAUUGUGAAAUUGAAGCAAAAAAAUGAUGAAUCUAAUGAUAAACUGACUGUAUUCGACGAUAGGAUUCGAUUUGUUGAGCGUAGGCAGCAACAAAUGUUGAAUUUCUUAGUUAAAUUAGUGAAAUUCCCCAUUUUGUUUCAGCAAUUGAUGAAGAAGAAACAGGUGGAAAAGAAAGAGCUUGAUGAAGGGGAAUUUAGUAGGAAGAAAAGGAGAUUGCUUGAGACACAAGUCACUAAGAGUUUGCUUGAGCUUAUGGGAACUGAUCAAACGGUCACAAAGAGCUUGAAUGAGCCUAUGGAGACUGACCGGAGGGGCACCAAGAACUUGCCUGAGCCUAUAGGGACUGACCAGAGGGUCACCAAGAACUUGCCUGGGCCUAUGGGGAAUGACCAAAGUGUCACAAAGAGCUUGCCUGAGCCUAUGGGGACUGACCGAAGUGUAGCAAAGAGCUUGCCUGAGCCUAUAGGGACUGACCAGAGGGUCACCAAAGACUUGGCUGAGCCUACGGGGACUGACCAAUGUGUCCCAAAGACCUUGCCUAAGCCAAUGGAGACCAACCAACGUAUCACAAAGACCUUGCCUAAGCCUAUGGAGAUUGGCCAAAGUGUCAUCAACUCUAAAAACCAAGUUGAUCAAGUGCUGGAACCAAUGCAAUCUGAUCACUUCUCAAAGUUUUUGCUUGAUUGUAUGGAGAAAGACUAUUGGGUUUCCAUGGAAGAUCAAGAGAACAUCGAUGCACAAGAAAUGUCAUCUGUUUAUCAUGUUAUGGCUGAAAACCUACUAGGCGAAAGCUCAUGUGUUGAAAAUGCAACAAAUGAAGAGUUGUCGGUGAAGGAUUCCAAGGUUUAUCUUGAAUUGGAGGAUUUGAUCAACUGGAAACCCUCUAACUUGACUGGAUUUGUCAAUGAUCUGCUAGUGGAACAAACUGGUUGAUAAAACUAUAAAUCCGACACAGGUUUGAUCUAUUUCAUCCUCUAUGUACCAUCAUAUCUCAUAUCUAUAUCUGUAUCUGAAGUAAACAAGGAUAUCGGACAUGAUUUCUUAAUGUAGAUGCCAUUGGCUGUAGGAAGGUGACUGCAAGUGUAUCGAGGCUUGAAGCUGAUAGCAACAAAGGUUUAUAUAGCUCUCUAUAUUACUGCUUUCCUUCAGAUUGUGAAAACUUUAAAUCAUAUAUAACAGUAUAUAUAUACAACAAUGUCUAGUUCUUUUUAACAUAUAUAUACAUAUAUAUAGUUAUAUACCCUUUACCCUUUAUUUAUCAAAUUCUGCUACUUCACUUAAAAGGUUAAAAAUUGAAAUCAAUGGUGUUACAUAUUUUGAUGCUUGGCUUACUUGCAAUUCAAGGAACUUAUGGAUUUUGUAUCUCCCUCUUACUUGUUUAUGUGUUCUUUGUACUUCAGUUUUAUUCUUAUGAUUAAUUCGAUAGUUAGGGGCUUUCUCUUAUUUUAUUUUUUAUUAUCCAACCAUUUCCUUUUUUUUAAAAUGAAAAUAUUUGUUUCUUUCUUCUUUCUACUAACAUAAAAGAUGUCAAGAAUUUUCUGUUUCUAGAAAUUUGUAUAUUUUUCAGAAAAAAACAAGUCAUUUUUGUUUAUGCAAUUAUCCAAAAUUAAAACCCAUUGUUUAUUAAUAAAUAUAUUUUUAUUUAGAAUCAAUUAUAAAAUUAAUAUUUAAAUAUUAUUGUGAAUAAUAAUAUUCUCUUUACAAUUGUCCAACCUUUGUCCUACCCAAACUAUGGCUUGAUUCAUAAGCAAAUUUAAAUUAUACAUGCCCAGACUUCAACUUAACCCAAUCUGACAAGCCAUUUUCACUGUAAAUUAUAAAAUAUUAAAAAUAUUUUUGUAAAUCUAAAUAAUUUUUUUAAUACCAACCUGAGAUAAGAAAAUAGAAAAUAUAGAAAAAGAGAACAAAAAUACUGUUGGAGAAUAAAUACUAUUGACAACAUUUUAAGCCCAGCAAAAUUAUUUUUCUUUAUUUUCUGUCCAAGACCUACCAAGAUGGGCGGGCUGCUCGGCCCAUACCGAUAUAAACUAGAUCGAACCGCUAGGAAUUAUCAUAACUAAAUUCUACAAAUUUUCACUUUAUUUUUAACUUAUUUUCUUCUGCUAAUAAAGCCUCAGUUGAUAAAUAAAACUAAUACCAAAACCAAAAUACACAAUUCAAGAUUUGACUUUUAUAAAUUACUAGUACCUUAGGGAAGAAAAUUACUAGCGUGAUACAAACUAUAAAAGGAUUGUAUUAGGCUUUUCUGGUUUUUUAAGUGUUUAGCCACUACUACCAUUAGCUGUAGCAGUGAGCUUUACCUUUAGGCCCGGUCACAACUAUGGAUUUUGAUGAAGAUGAAGAGGAGAUGGCUGACCUGUCAAACUGCUCUUUAUCUUCAUGGAAUGCCUUGCUUAGUACGUCUUGGAGUUCCACGUAUCUCUGCCUUUUAACCAUCCGUUCCUGCGCCGUAUCGCUCCCUCCGCAUGCUAGCUGCGAUAGGUCGUCCGCGUCCAUGAUCUUGUUCAACACUUCAGAGCAACGAGGAAAAAAUCGUUUCCCGAGUUCGACUGCCGGAGAUAAAACAGAAAAAGAGGGUUAGCUUCGAUAUAUUAAUGCAAAUGAUAUUUACGCGCGACAUAUAAUCAGACAUAAAUAUAAAAAUACAAUCUUCCAUGACAAAACAUAUAAAAAGUAGAGCAGCAAUACUCAGCUAUUUAUACAUCCAUUUAUAUCAUCUCUAGAUAGAAGCCUGGAUUUUAUUUUACCUCCUGUACUUAGAAAAUAAACAAAUAAAAAUAGAUUUUUAAAUAUUAAUACUUGUGUCUACUCCAAAUCCAUUAUAAAUAAUAAUUAAAAUAUUUAAAUCUAAAUAUUAUCUAUCCAAAUUCAAAUUUCACGAUCCCAACCAUCUAUUAUGAUCCUAGUGACAUUUAAGAGGGCAGCAUGAAAUGUUGGUGAAAAAGCAGUACCUGUUCUGGAAAGUGCUUUGAGUCUAUUUAAAUGCUCCUCUUGAAUCCUGAAAGGUGCCUCAUUCAAGGCCACUGUUGUUUGAGCACCAUUUAAUUUAUUGGAAUUGAUGGUAGCAAAUGUGAACUCCGAUGUUCCAUCCACUUGAGCUAUAUCCAUCACAACUUUAGCUUCCAUUGGGAAUAAAAGUUUCGCCAGCCCAACUGCAAAAGUUACACAAAUAAUAACACAACCUAGUAAGCUAUGUUCUUUGGAUUGUUCAUUUUUUCAAAAACAUUCGUGUCCGACAUCCGUAUUUAACAUAUGCAAGACAUGGGUAUAUAUCAGACUACAUGGAAAAUGAAUAGUUGGAGCAAAAAAUUUACCUCUAUUUUCGAGAUACAAUAACUUCAUCCGAAGAUCAUCACCAGCCAUGGCAAGAGACAAAGAAGCUUCACCAUGCAACGGAUCUCUUCUUUCAGCUUGCUCUAGUAUCUCUAUACACAACCUGUCCUUCGGCGAAGCCUUACCUUCCUCGGUCGAUUUAUAGUAAUCGGCAGCCCGGGUGAGCCGCUUCGAUAUUUGAAGAGCUUUUCUACCAUCAAUAGUGAGAUCGGAUGGUCGUGCACCUUUCGUUAAAAGAGAAACUAUAAUCUUAGGCUCUUUCCUCAUCGCGGCAACGUGCAACACUGUGUACCCUCUCGAGUUCCUAUGGUUAACAUCCGCGAGUCCAAGGUCAAGCAACUCAGUCGUGGUCUUUGCGUCGCAGUAUGCCACAGCGUAGUGAAGCGCAUACGCUUCGUCUAAAUUCGUAUGACCCUCUUUCAGUAGCAUUCGAACUAACUCGACGUCAUCCGAUUCCAGCGCCCGAUGAAUCCGCCGCACGUGUUUAUCGGGAAAACCUACGUUCUCAGGCUUGUCUAAACUGAGUUCCAGACGGGAAUCAAUGAUUUGUUUCACAAUGGGUUGAGGCAAGGCUUUGUCGAGUGUUACAAUAUCAACAUCGGAUUUCACAACGAUUUCUACACACUUUGCCACCAAUUUUUCACAAACAUUGCCGCACAUAUUUGCAAUGUAAAGAACCACCAAGAUACCAUCUACGGCGACCCUGUCGAUGAUGUCCAGUAGAUGUCUCUGUAAAUUUAAAAACAGAACAUAAAUUCUGAAAACUUAAAAUACUCUGUUCUGUUUUUCUAAUUGCUUUUUUGAUUCCUCAUCAAAUCACAAAAAAGGAAGAAAGGACUAAAUUAUACUACCAUUAGUUCACACACUUAUCUCUGAAUUCCUAUAUUUUUUUAGUAUUCAUAUUUAGCAAUCAUAAUCCAAGUAACGUAGCUUAAAUCAUAAAAUUUUGUUAUUAAGGGACUCUGAUUUUUUAGUUAUUCAAAUAUGUUACUAAAACUCAAUAGUAAAUAUUAAAUAUGAAUAUGUGUUGGAGUAUAUUCAAAUUUAAUUUUUUUUUCUAUUCACAGAAAUGCCUAUGAAUGCUCAAUUUUCUAAUAUUUUUUAUAUCUGAAAAUCAACAAAACUUGCUAAUGUUUAACAGUGAUUAGUUAUAAGAACGAUUAUCUAAUUUCUCCGAAAUUGGAAAUUCAUACAAUAAAUAAUCAAUAUUAAGAUUCAAGGGCGAAAAAAGAAGCUAAAAUCAGUUGAAAUUUACUGACCUGAUAAAGAGCAAUUAAUUCAGGGACCUGAAAAACGAACGCUGCAUAUAGAACUUCAGCAAUGAAAUCAACGGCCGGUCUACAUCCAACGUGCGAACAACCAUCGUCUACGCAAAGGCAAACGCCUUUAGGCAACGAUUUAACUUUUCCGGUAUACAAGUAAGCCAGAACGGCAACAAGCGAAUCAUAGCCGAUCUCAUAGUCUCUAGCCAACUCUUUGAGCUCAAACUUAGCUCCACUAUCUUUCAGCCCGGAGAACACGGUCUUAAACACCGAACUCCUUGCCGACAAAAUGCACCGGUGAACGGCCACCUCCCGGCCGGAAGAUAGCGCGAUUUUUGCGUCGGAGUAAAAGUAAUCGGAAUCCGUCGAUUCGUAAAGGGACUCGAGGUUCUUGGAGAGGAGUUGAAGAGCGGCGACGUCCGGAGUGUUCAACGGUUCCGAUGAAACAAGUGUUUCGGAGGUUGUUGUCGCAGCGGCGGCGACGAUACAGCACGUGGUGCUGUUGUUGUUACUGAUUUCGUUCGAAUCCGAAAAUCCAUUUCUAUGAUCCAUAGAAAAACAAAAAAGAAACUAUUUGAAACUCAAAGCUACUUGUUUAGGUACCUGAAGAAGAAAGCAACGAUUCUCCAUGGAAAUACUGAGAGGAAAUAAAAAGUCAAAGGAGAGAGAUAAAAGAAGAAGAGUUUAGCCAUUGAUGAGCUAGCAUCAGCUAGUAACAUGGCGUGACGAAGAACUUAAAAAUUAAAAAUUAAUAAAAAUAAAAAUAAAAAUUGUUAGAUACUCUUUUAUUGAAUCUAGGGUAACUUCUCCUAUUAGUCCCUGUAAUUUUAAAAGUUAUCGAUUUAAUCCCUGUACUUUAAUUUGAACAUUUUUAGUCCCUUUUCUUUUUAAAUUUCAAAAUUUCAGUCAUAAUCAUUGUUAAACUGAUUAAGUUCUAUUAUUUCUAAAAUCUAAUUCGUCAACCACAUUAUCAUAUUUGUAAUGACAUAUCAACUAGUAAUUGCAUUUAAAAUGGAUCUAAUUGCUAUUGAUGGGGUCAAGAUUAAAUUGAAAAUUUGAAAAAAGUAUAGGGAAUAAAAUUAAAAAAUUUGAAACGUAUGGGGACUAAUUGUGAUCAAAUUGAAGUACAAAGACUGGCUGCUUUCAAAAAGUAUAGUGACUAAUAGAAGAAUUUAACCUUGGAUGUAUUAUAAUAUUUUCCAUUUUUUUCAUGUUUUAAGAUUGCUCUUUAUUUUAAUAUAGAUUCAUGUGUUUUUCCCCGGCUUUUCAUCCGUACAUUAGGACCACCUGUUUUGCCUUUUUUCUCCGGUUACCUUUAUGAAUCUGGGAUUUGACGGCCCUGAUUUAGUUUUAGAUUCAAAGUGAGAUAAUCAAUCAAGACCAGAAGGAAAAUUAAAUGUUAAAAUAUGACCAAGUCCCUGCACUUUUUGUGAAUUCAGAAUUUAGUCCUUUUACUUUCAUUUCUAGGAAUUUGAUCCUUUAACUUUUCUAGUUUCAAAAUAUAAGUCCAAUUGUUAGUACCGUUAAAAUUUUUAUAUUAAAAUUACGGGUGUGAUAUUUUGAAAUAAUAUGCAUUAGGUUCAAAAUUUACUCAAUCAAGUAUUAUAUUAUUCAAAUUCAACUUACUUUAUAGCUCAAGCUCAGUUUAAUAAUUACUGAGUCGAGUUUAAACUUUUUUUUUAAAUUACAAAUUACGUGUACAAUUAUUCAAAUAUUCAUUUACCAAUAUAGAUAAACAAUUUUACCCUUGUAUUAAGAGUCAAAUUAUAUUUUGCCUCCUCUACUCAAAACAUGGGUAAAUUAGUCAUUAUACGUUAGAUCAAAAAGUAAACUGUCCUUUUUUUAAAAAAUUUUAUCAAUUUCUACUAUUAAAAAUUGGCGUAGUUGAUAGAAUAACUUGACAAUUACGAGUUGUAUGCCAUGUGUACCUCAUUUUGAUGUAUAUGGACCAAUUUUUAACAGUAUAAAAAGAUAGGACAUUUAACAGAAUAAUCAGUCUGCUCUUUGAUUUAACAUAUAGAAACUAAUUUGCCCAUUUUUUUAAUAAAGUGAGCAAAAUGCAAUCCAACUCUUAAUACAAGAGCUUCUAUACUUUUACCACUAAUAUCAUUUUCAAGGAUAGGGCGGCUAAAGUGCGGCAAAAGUGCAAGGCUGAAAGCUUAACGUCAGUAACGGCAGUUAUCAAAGUUCCGUCAUUGUUUCUUUCUAAUUCUGGAUUUCAACACUAUUUUAUAAAAAUUAAUCCAUUUGUUUUAAUUUGUAAUAAUUUAAUCCUCGUAGGUCACAAAAAGCUAAUAGAUUAGUCUAAUUAUAAGUAAACACGAAAAUUUUACUUGCUUAUAUCUGUUAACUUGUUGAAGCAUAUAAAUUGUGUAACACCCCUUACCCGUAUUCUGAGCCUAGAAUAGGGUACGAGACAUUACCGAACUUAAUAUGAUCAAUUAUGUAAAAAUCAGCCAUAAAACUUCUUCUAAAUUAAAAACUUUCAUACAUAUGUUUAACGUCCCUUAUAUGGGUCUACGGGGCCUAAAACAUACAUUCAGGGUGGUUCGGGACCAAACCGUAAACAUAUGAAACUUUUGCAACACUUAGAAAAUUUUCACACUUUGAAGAGUCACACGCUCGUGUUUUCAACCCAUGUAACUCUCUGUUUAUAACUUCAUCACCCUUGUCAGUCGUAUACCUCAUAUAAAUAACAAGAAACGUGUAUGGGCUCAAUUCUCAUUAAAUUUCUCAUAUAUAUACACAAUUUCACGUUAUGUAAUCAUACAACAUAUAUCAGCUAUAUCUCUGUAAUCUAAAUAUAUUUUCAUAACAACUUAUCUUGAUUUCAUACUAUUUCAUAUUUAAGCUUAAAUAACCAAAGUAUUUGAAAUAUCAUCUUUAUGCAAAUAGUACACAUGAGGUAUAUAAUUCCAUAAUUAUGAAUAAACACAUUUAUCAAACAUUUUCCAUAUUCAUAUAUCAAUGUCUCAUGUCUCCAUAUAUCAAUAACCGUCAUUUUCAUGAAUUUCGAAUUCAAUUUCAUAAUUAUUUUCCUCGUGUUCAAUUUAUUCCAUGUCGGAACUUUAUUCAUUAAAACAUUUGAAUUAUCAAUACAUAUGGACAUUACAUUCAAUAUGAACAAUUAUAUAAUCACAAAAGAAUUCAUUUAUCAACCAAGUUCUAUACUCAUAUCUUAUCAACUCGUACUUUCUUGUAUCACAUAAUUCCAUGUAACACUUACCAAACUUUGUCAAAUUAGUGAACGUCUUACGGAAUUGAGUACUUCGUUUUCUCGAUGCCAUAGUUCAACUAUGGUCUUACACAUCUUCACAUAAUGAUGCCAUAGCCCAGCUAUGGUCUUACACAUAUUCAUAUAUCGAUGCCAUAGCCCAGCUAUGGUCUUACACGUAAUCACAUAUCACAUAUCGAUGCUAUAGCCCAGCUAUGGUUUUACACGAAUCACAUAUCUCACUGAUGUCAUAUCCCAAAUAUGGUCUUAUACAGUAGCAUAUAUCACACCGAUGCCAUAUCCUAGAUAUGGUCUUAUACAUAAAUCACUUGUCACUUGUUGUAACACCCCCACGCCCGAAACCGUUACCGGAGUCAAGCUUGAGGUGUUACUAAACUUAUUUUACCUUUUAAACAACUCUAAACCACUUAUUUUAAUUUUCGGAAUAAAUUGUUUUUCUGCGUCAUGGUUGCUUAAAAAUUCAUUUCUCGAGUUUCAAAACUCAAAAUUAAGAUCUGUAAAUUUUUCUUGAAACUAGACUCAUAUAUCUAUCUACUAAUUUUUUUCUAGAAUUUUUGACUUGUCCAAUUAGUACAGUUUAUUAGUUAAAGUUUCCCCUAUUUCAAAACUCGACUGCACUGACCUCUUCUUACUCCGAAGCAUGCUUCUUCCUGUAAAAAAUUCAUAUGACUAAGCCGUUUGUUUCUAUUAAAACUAGACUCAACAAGGAUUCUAACCAUAUAAAGUACACCUUCUAAUUAGUUUUUUACAAUUUAUGGUGAAUUUCAAAAGUUGAAAUAGGGGAUCCAGAAAUUGCUCUGACCCUGUUUUACUAAAACUCAAAUAUCUCAUAAAAUAUAAUACCUUUACCUGUUUUGCUUAUUCCAUAAGAAAAUAGACAUAAUAAGAUUUAAUUUCAUAUAUUAUUCAUCUUCAAACUAUGUUUCUACAAUUUUUAGUGAUUUUUCAAAGUUAUGUCAUUUCUAUUACUUGAAUCUGUUUUUAGGUUACUUUCACAUUUUUCAUAAUUUUCAUGUGAUAAUCACCAUUCAAUCAUACAUAUUAAUAAACAUGUAUAUCAUCGGCCAUUUUAUUAGCUAAUCACUAGCAAGUAUUUACACAUCAUUCAUUGUUCAUAUUAUACCAAAAGUAGCUAAGUUUCUAUACAUGCCAUACCCAAAACAAAACGUCUAAUUAUACCGAGUUAUUUCUUUGAUAGUGUGAUCGGCCUCCGACGUUUCCUUCGAUCCCCGAGUGGCUAGAUAAGUACUAUAAGAAGAAGAAAAUAAAGAGAUUAAGCACUAGGCUUAGUAAGCUUACAAGUAAAUAAAUCACAACAUUCAACAUAAUGGAUAAUUAUGCAUAAUAUCAUCUAACAUCAUAAAUUUCUUUACUUCUCAAUUUCUAUCUUAUUCUUUAUUCCCUUACCUUCUUUCUUACCUAACCUUUCCUUUUUCUUAAAUAUAAUCUACUUUUCCUUUUCUGUUAAUUCACUGUAAUUUAACUCGUACCCUGACCCGUUGAACCACUCGGAAUACUAAAGAUACUAGGGUCGUUCCUGUCUUUCAAUAUCCUGCCAAUACCAUGUCUUUGACAUGGACUUACAUGAAUUAUUCCUGUCUCCAAUGCCAUAUAUAAUAUGGACUUACAUGGCUCAAUCCUGUCUCCAAAGCCAUAUUUCUAAUAUGGACUUACAUGGCUCAUUUCUGUUCUAUCCUGUCAACCCUAAUAUCCUAACAUUCCUAGGGUUCAACCGGGGCUUUCUAACACUUUUCCUCUGUCACUUCACCUUAAAUUCGACUUUAAAUAUUUUCAUAACAUUAAUAUAUAAAUGCUGGAAAUUGAAAAUAAUAAUGUAAAAUAAAAGAAUAUUGCAUUUAUUUACUGUUACUUACCUUGAUACAAAAUGUGACUAAACUUUACAAUUUAGUCCUUUACUUUUUCUUUUCCCUGAUCUACUCCCGAAUUUCAUUCUUCUUGAUCUAUAAUAGAAAAUUUAACUUAUUUAAUAUUCACAUUUAUUAAAACAGUCCGUGACCCAAACUUUGGAAAAUUAUAUUUUUACCCCUAAACUUUCACAUAUUUUUAUACCUUGGAUUUGUGGUUUCACAACCACUGUUCCGUUUAGGCCCUAUUUUGGGAUGUUACAUUUCUCCCCCCCUUUAGGGAUUUUCGUCCCGAAAAUCUUACCUGUGAAGAGAUUUCGGUACUGUUUUCGCAUAGCCUCUUCGGGUUCCCAUGUAGCCUCAUCUACCUGUGUCUAUUCCAUAGUACUUUCACAAGUGCAAUACUUUUGUUCGUUAAUUGCUUUACCUCUCGAACUAGAAUCUUUACCAGUUCUUCACUGUAAGUCAUGUCUGGCUGAAUCUCAACCUCUGUCUGAGAAAUCACAUGUGACGGAUCUAAACGAUAACGACGUAGCAUAGACACAUGAAAUACAUUAUGAAUCUUCUCUAACUCAAUCGGCAAAGCUAACCGAUAUGCUAAUGGUCCGACUCUCUCAAUUACUUCAAACGGUCCAAUAAAACGUGGACUUAGUUUGCCUUUCUUACCAAAUCUGAGAACUUUCUUCCACGGGGAUACUUUCAAAAAAACUUUGUCACCAACUUGAUACUCAAUAUCUUUUCUCUUUAUGUAACAGCCUAAUUUUCAAUGGUAUUGGGAAUAGAGAUUUGAGAUCACCAAAUCCGACGGGUGAGUUAAAAAUUUAAUAAAUUAAUACCUAUGAGUCAAAUGCGAAUAUAAAAGCAUUUUUGAAUUAGUGAAUUUGGUGAUUUAAAAGAAUUAAUUAGGUAAAUUGGGUCGAGAAUGAGUUAUCGAGACCUCGACUUCAUAAAUCGAGCCAUAAAUGUUUUCAGAAAUAUUUAUGGAGUGUUGGUGAGGUAGUAUUAAAAUUUAGUCAGAAAAUUUUGACGUUUGGGUGGUUAAUUAAAUAAAAAGGACUAAAUUGAAAAGGGUGUAAAAGUUGCUAGAAGGAUUAAAUAGUUCAAUUGUCAAAUGAGGAAGGACCUAAAGUGAAAAUAGUCCUAAAGGAGAUAUUUUGGGCGGCAAUAGCUGAGAAAAAUCAGGAAAUGGAUGAAAUAAGGGCAAAAUUGGAAAUUGCCAAAAUUGGCUAAAUAAAAAUGGGACUAAAUUGGAAUAUCUAGAACUCUCUUCAUUUCUCUUCAUAUUCAUCAGCUGAAAAACAGCCAUGGAGGAGGGUUCAAGCUGGUUUUCAUACUCUAGCUUCAUGUAAGUUUAAUUCUUGCUUUCUCCUUGAAAUUUUUAUGUUUUUGUGACUUUUACAACUAGGUCCACUUGUUGAAUUCAUUAGUUUUUGAUUCUAUGAAAGAAAUUGAAAGUUGCUAUAAAUAUGUGCUGGAAGUAUAUGAUGAUUUGGCAUGGAAUUAGAGUUUUAAAUUAUUUAUAUGCUGCUUUUAUUGAAAGAAUUGAAUAGAAAGUGAAUGUUUGGGACCUAAUUGUAAAAGAGUUUGAAGUUAGAGUUUCAUAUGGAAAUUCUGAAUUUCAAUAGUUAUGAAAUAACUUAUAAUAUCUAGAAAAAGUGUUAAUUGAGAAAAUUAUCUUAAUUGAGGGGUUAAUUGAGCAAGGACUGAAUUGUAUGAAUUGUGAAAUUUGGGGCAAAAUGGAAAUCAACAUUUUGCACUAAAACUGUUUUAGACAGCAGCAGUAGUCUAACUUUGAAAAAUCACUAAAAAUUAUAGAAAUCGAAUUAGAGGAUGAAUAAAAUAUGAAAUUAAAUCUUAUUGAGUCUAGUUUCUUAUAAAAGAAAUUAUGUAAGCAAUGGAAUUGUAAAUCAUGAGAUACAAUAACUUUUGUGAGACAAGGUCAGAAUGAUUUCGAGUUCCCCUGUUCUGACUUUGGAAAAACAUAAAAAAUUGGAUAAAAAUAAUUAGGGGCUUAAAUUUAUAUGUUUAGAAUCCUGAAUGAGUCUAUUUUCAAGAUAAACAAACAAGGACAUCAUUCGAAUUCUUUACAAGAAGAUAAUUAAUUUUUAGUGAAGAAGGGUCGGAACUGUCAGACAGCAGAACAGGGGAGACUUUAAUGAAUAAACUGUAUUAAUUGGCCCAACCAAAAAUUAUGAAAUUUUUAUGGUAAUAAGGUAUAUGAGUCUAGUUUCAGGGAAAAUUAGAAGAUAUUAAUUUGGAGUUCUGUAGCUCAAGAUAAAAAUAAUUUAGUGACUAUGACACAGAUGGAUAGCUUGAAUAUUCACAUAAGUAGAUAGUGAAAAUUAUGGAUAAUGUUACUUACAAGUGUGUUGUUUAUACUAAGGAUGUAGAAUGGAGAGGAGGAGGAGGAGGAGGAAAAAUAUGUAUGAAUAUUCAGCUAGCAUGGCUAAUUUGUAUGUUUUUGGCUCAAGGACUAAAUUGAAUAAAAGUAAAACUUUAUGGGUAAUUUUGUAAAAAUGUCGAAAAUGACUAAAUUGAAGGGAAUGAAUUGUUUUAUUAUCUAAAUUAAUAAAUUGAAUGAAAUUAUCAAUUUAAGAUUGGGUGAAAUUUGGGAAUAUGGUAAAUUACCAAUAUGCCCCUAAAUCUUGGUAUUUUUGUAAUUUAGUCAGGUAGGUUCGUAUAUCCUGCAUGAGCAUGUAAAUAUGAAAAUUUAAGUAUUGUAUCGUAUUUUAUAUGAUAUUUUGAAUUGAAUAUAUGAAAAGAAUGUUACAUGAAACAUGAAAAUUAAUACUAAAUAAUAUAAAUUAAUUGAAAUUAUUCUGAAAAUUUCGGUAAUGCCUCGUAUCCUAUCCCGGUCUCAGGUACGGGUAUGGGGUAUUACACUUUAAAUCUGCAUACGACUUUUUUUGUCUGAAGUUGCUUUCAAGCAAUCUCUGAUGAUUUUUACUUUCUCUUCUAUUUCCUUAACUAGAUCAACCCUGUAAAUCUGAUUUUCCUUAAGCUCUGUCCAAUACAAAGGUGUGCGACAUUUACGUCCAUACAAAGUUUCAUAAGGUGCCAUCUUCAAACUUGACUGAUAACUAUUAUUGUAAGCAAACUCUACUAAUGGCAAAUAUUUUUCCCAACUGCCUUGAAUACCUGAAUAACUCUCUCUGACUGACCGUCGGUUUGAGGAUGAAAAGCCGUACUAAAACUCAACUUCGUACCUAAAGCCUCUUGUAACUUCUUCCAGAACCGUGAAGUAAAUCUUGGAUCUCUGUCUGAAAUGAUCGAUAAUGGUACCCCGUGUAGUCUGACUAUCUCUGAAAUAUAUAACUCGGCCAACUUGUCAAGUGAAUAAUCCAUACGAACUGGGAUAAAAUGAGCCGACUUCGUUAACUUAUCAAUCACAACCCAUACUGCAUCUUUCUUUCUCAGUGUAAACGGCAAUCCUGCCACAAAAUCCAUAGUAACUUGAUCUCAUUUCCACUCAGGGACUAGCACAGGCUGCAAUAAACCUGAAGGUACCUAAUGUUCGGCCUUUACCUGCUGACAGAUCAAGCAUCUAGAAACAAACUCUGAAAUGUUCCUUUUCAUUCCUACCCACCAGUACAUUUUCUUCAAAUCAUUAUACAUAUUUGUACUACCUGGGUGAAUAGACAAAGAACUACUAUGUGCUUCCUGUAAGAUCUUUCGAAUAAGCUCAUCAUUCUUCGGUAUGCAUACCCUGUCUCUGAACAUCAAACAACCGUCAAAACUGAUCUGAAAAUCUGACUCUAUGCCUGACUCACAUUGAACUCUUUUAGCUUGUAACUCAUUAUCAUCUUUCUAAGCUUCACAAAUCUCUUCAAAAAAUACCGGUUUAGUUCUCAAUUCUGCUAAAAUAGAACCAUCAUCUGACAUGGCUAAAUUGGUAUUCAAAGCUCGCAAUGUAAAUAAAAGUUUCCUACUUAAAGCGUCAGCAACUACAUUUGCCUUACCUGGGUGAUAAUCAAUCACUAACUCAUAAUCUUUAAGCAAUUCCAAUCAUCUUCUUUGCCUUAAAUUCAAAUCUUUUUGAGUCAUCAAGUAUUUCAAGCUUUUAUGAUCGGUAAAUAUCCGGUACCUUUCACCAUACAAAUAAUGUCUCCAAAUCUUCAAUGCAAAUACAAUAGCAGCUAGCUCUAAAUCAUGUGUCAGAUAAUUUUUCUCAUGUGGCUUCAAUUGUCUAGAGGCAUAAGCAAUUACCUUUUCUUCCUGCAUGAGUACACAACCGAGCCUAUUCAAGGAUGCAUCAUUGUAAAUCACAAAUUCUUUACCCGGUUCCGGCUGUACUAAGAUAGGAGCUUCCGUCAACAAUGCCUUUAACUUGUCAAAACUUUGUUGGCACUUCUCAGUCCAUUCAAACUUAACAUCCUUCCGUAGCAGUCUCGUCAACGGGGUAGCUAUCAUGGAAAAUCCCUUCACAAAUCGUCUAUAAUAUCCGGUAAGACCAAGAAAACUUCUAAAUUCUGAUACAUUUCUAGGAGGCUUCCAAUCAACAAUGGCUGAAAUCUUGCUCGUAUCAACCUUAAUACCUUCACCCGAGACAAUAUGUCCAAGAAAACCAACUUCUUGUAACCAGGACUCACUUUUGCUAAACUUGGCAUACAACUAAUUAUCUCUCAGAAUUUGUAAAACUGUUCUUAAAUGCUCUGCAUGCUCAGUCUCAUCAUGAGAAUAAAUCAAAAUAUCAUCAAUGAACACAACUACAAACUUAUCUAAGUACGAUCUGAAAAUUCAGUUCAUUAAGUCCAUGAAAAUGGCAGGAGCAUUAGUCAAGCCAAAUGGCAUCACAAGGAACUCAUAAUGACCAUACCUAGUCCGGAAAGCAGUCUUCAAGACAUCUGACUCUUUAACUCGCAACUGAUAGUAUCCGGAUCUCAAAUCUAUCUUGGAAAACACAGUAGCUCCCUUCAAUUGAUCAAACAGAUCAUCAAUUCUAGGCAAUGGAUAUUUGUUCUUUACUGUUACCUUGUUAAGUUACCGAUAAUCUAUGUACAAUCUCAUCGAUCCGUCUUUCUUUUUCACAAAUAGCACUGGUGCACCCCAUGGUGAACUACUAGGUCUUACAAAGCCUUUAUCUGUUAAUUCUUGCAACUGAGCUUUCAAUUCUUUCAAUUCCAACGGAGCCAUUCUAUAAGGAGCAAUAGAAAUGGGCGUGGUACCUGGAAUCAACUCAAUACCAAACUCAACUUCUCUAACAGGAGGCAAACUUGGUAGUUCUUCCGGAAACACAUCGGGAAACUCACAUACCACAGGUACUGAUUCAAUUUUCAAUUCUGGAUCUUUAGUGUUCAACACAAAAGCAAGAUAAGCUUCAUACCCUUUUCUCAAACAUUUCUGAGCAAACAUAACAGAGAUUAUGGGAAAUAAACUAUCUGACUCUUCUGAAUUAACCCGAAGAAUUUCACCAUUUUCACACUUCAACUCAAUUAAUUUCUUUCCACAAUUCACUAUAACAUCAUGUGUAGUCAACCAAUCCAUACCAAGAAUCACAUCAAACUCAUCAAAUGACAAUAGCAUGAGAUCGGCCGGAAAACAGUAGCCUCUAAUCAUUAAAGGACAAUUUCUACAUACUUUAUCUGUAACAUCCCAAAAUAGGGCCUAAACGGAACAGUGGUUGCGAAACCAUAAAUCUGAGGUAGAAAAUUUUAUUUUAUUAUUAUUUUGAGGUUUAUGGUAUGAUUGCAUGAUUGUGUGAAAAUUUCGUGAUGAAAUUCUAUGCAUAAAGUGCUUAAGUUAAGGUUAGGGACUAAAUCGAAUAAUUUGCAAAAUUUGUAUUCUAAAAGUUUUUAGUAUGAAAUUAUUUUGGAAUAUUAAUUAGGAGGGUUUAAAUAAAAAUUUGACCAAUUUUAAGUUCAUGGACAAAAAUUAGGACAUGGAAAGAAUUUUUGAAAGUUUAGUAAGGAGGGGCAAUUUGGUCAUUUGGAUAUUAAAUGAAUUAAAAAGGGAAAAAUAACACAAAAAUGGUCAUCUUCUCAAUUAGUUUCUGCCGAUUUUUGCUCUCCUCCAUAGCUGGGGUUUCUUCAACUUUCAAGCUUCAUAGUAAGUGAUUCUAAGCCCCGUUUUUAAUGAUCUUUACGUUUUUGGAGUCCCGGUAACUUGAUUAAGCUUAUUCUAGCAAUAAUUCAACCUAAGGUUCAUAUUUUGAAAAAUACCAAUAGCUUAAAUUUGUGUAUUUUGGUGUUUUAUGAUAGAAUAUGAGGUUUUAAAUUAUGUUAAACAACUUAUGCUACUCGGUUUUAAGUGAAAACGAGUAAAAGGGCUUAAAUCGGAAAAAAAUACCAAUAGUCAUAAGUAUAUGUUAGAGUGUGAUUUUGAUAUUGCCAUAGAAGGGGAAAAUGAUCAGCAUUUCAUAAAACAUAAGAAAAUAGGAUGAAGUUUAAUUUACGAGCCUUAGGGCAAAAGUGCAAAUAUGUGAAAGUUUAGGGGUAAAAAUAUAAUUUUACCAAAGUUUGGGUCACGGAUUGUUUUAAUAAAUGUGAAUAUUAAAUAAGUUAAAUUUGUUAUUAUAGAUCAAGAAGAACGAAAUUCGGGAGUAGAUCGGGGAAAAGAAAAAGUAAAUGACUAAAUUGUAAAGUUUAGUCACAUUUUGUAUCAAGGUAAGUUACAGUAAAUAAAUGCAAUAUUCUUUUAUUUUACAUUAUUAUUGUCAAUUUCCAGCAUUUAUAUAUUUAUGUUAUGAAAAUAUUUAAAGUCGAAUUUAAGGUGAAGUGACAGAAGAAAAGUGUUAGAAAGCCCCGGUUGAACCCUAGGAAUGUUAGGAUCUUAGGGUUGACAGGAUAGAACAAAAAUGAGCCAUGUAAGUCCAGAUUAGAAAUAUGGCUUUGAAGACAGGAUUGAGCCAUGUAAGUCCAUGUUAUAUAUGGCAUUGGAGACAGGAAUAAUUCAUGUAAGUCCAUGUCAAAGACAUGGCAUUGGCAGGAUAUUGAAAGACAGGAACGACCCUAGUAUCCUUAGUAUUCCGAGUGGUUCAACGGGUCAGGGUACGAGUUAAAUUACAGUGAAUUAACAGCAAAGGAAAAGUAGAUUAUAUUUAUAAAAAAGGAAAGGUCAGGUAAGAAAAAAGGUAAGGGAAUAAAGAAGAAGAUAGAAAUUGAGAAGUAAAGAAAUUUAUGAUGUUAGAUGAUAUUAUGCAUAAUUAUCCAUUAUGUUGAAUGUUGUGAUUUAUUUGCUUGUAAGCUUACUAAGCCUAGUGCUUAAUCUCUUUAUUUUCUUCUUCUUAUAGUACUUAUCUAGCCAUUCGGGGAUCGAAGGAAACGUCGGAGGCCAAUCACACUAUCAAAGAAAUAACUCGGUAUAAUUAGACGUUUUGUUUUGGGUAUGGCAUGUAUAGAAACUUAGCUACUUUUGGUAUAAUAUGAACAAUGAAUGAUGUGUAAAUACUUGCUAGUGAUUAGCUAAUAAAAUGGCCGAUGAUAUACAUGUUUAUUAAUAUGUAUGAUUGAAUGGUGAUUAUCACAUGAAAAUUAUGAAAAAUGUGAAAGUAACCUAAAAACAGAUUCAAGUAACAGAAAUGAUGUAACUUUGAAAAAUCACUAAAAAUUUUAGAAACAUAGUUUGAAGAUGAAUAAUAUAUGAAAUUAAAUCUCAUUAUGUCUAUUUUCUUAUGAGAUAACCAAAACAGAUAAAGGUAUUAUAUUUUACGAGAUAUCUGAGUUUUAGUGAAACAGGGUUAGAGCGAUUUUUGGAUCCCAUAUUUCAAAUUUGGAAAUUCACCAUAAAUUGUAAAAAUCUAAUUAGAAGGUGUACUUUAUAUGGUUAGAAUCCUUGUUGAGUCUAGUUUUAAGAGAAGCAAACAUCUUAGUCAUAUGAAUUUUGUAUAAGAAGAAACAUGGUUUGUAGUAAGAAGAGGUCAGUGCAGUCGAGUUUUGAAACAGGGAAAACUUUAACUAAUAAACUGUACUAAUUUUCCAAGUUAAAAAUUCUAUAAAAAUAAUUAGUAGAUAGAUAUAUGAGUCUAGUUUCAGGAAAAAUUUACGUAUCUUAAUUUUGAGUUUUGAAACUCGAGAAAUGAAUUUUUAAGCAACCAUGACGCAGAAAAAUAGUUUAUUCCGAAAAUUAAAAUAAGUGGUUUAGAGUUGUUUAAAAGGUAAGAUAAGUUUAGUAACACCUCAAGCUUGACUCCGGUGACGGUUUCGGGCGUGGGAGUGUUACAUUUAUUGGUAUCAGAGCAGGUUUAGUCGGUUCUCGAAACAGUUAGUGUGAGAAAAAGUCUAGCUAUACAUGCCAUACUUGUAUUUUGAUAGUGUGACGACUCCUGACGAUUUUUAAAUAUUUUGUUUUAUAGUAAUGGAUCCCGGGCGAGCUGGUGAUGAUGAUGUAAAAAGUAAUGCGCUUGCUCCCGCAGAAGGGGCAACGCCAUCUGAGAAUAGGCCAGUAAUAGUUGAUCAGGGAGGAGUGACUCGAGAAGCUCUCUUCCGAGCUUUGAAUGAUUUGUUUGCCGAGUUCGUUCGUACGAAUCCGGCAGUUAGACCUCCACCCCCUCAUGAUUCUUAGGCUACCCAUGUAGCUCAAGCUUCCCCAGUCACAGGUACACUGGUAAGAGAAAAGCCACCAGUUGAUAGAAUCAGGAAACAAGGGGCAGAAGAGUUCCGAACAACAAAAGAUGAUGAUGCAGAAAGAGCAGAAUUUUGGUUAGAAAAUACUAUCAGAGUCUUUGACGAAUUAUCUUGUACACCCGAGGAAUGUAUGAAAUGUGUAGUAUCACUUCUUAAAGACUCAGCCUACUACUGGUGGAAGACACUUGUAUCAGUUGUACCGAAAGAGAGGGUCACUUGGGAUUUCUUUCAGGAAGAAUUUCGUAAAAAGUACAUCAGUCAGAGGUUUAUUGACCAGAAGAUAAAAUAAUUCCUGGAAUUGAAACAAGGCAAUAUAACGGUGACCGAUUAUGAGCGUGAAUUUGUCAGGCUUAGUAAAUAUGCUCAAGAAUGUGUGUCCACAGAGGCUAUCAUGUGUAAAAGGUUUGAGGAUGGCUUAAAUGAUGAUAUCCGACUGUCAGUGGGUGUCCUAGAAAUAAAAGAGUUCGUUAUUUUAGUUGAGAAAGCCUGUAAGAUAGAGGAGCUGUUAAAAAGAAAAGGCAAAGUUGAGACAGAGACACAAGAUACAAAGAAAAGACAGAUGAGUAGAUCAUUUCAGGCUACAUCCAAGAGGCCCAAAGAGUUUUCUACCAGAUCUAGCUUUUCGGCAAGGCAAUCUAGUCAGAAUAGAGGUAGCAGAUUUAACGAUCCGAAGGCUCAGACCACCUUGACUACGAAUACAAGUAAUGUCAGACAGGGUAGAUCAGGGUGUCCACGGUGUGGUAGACUUCAUUAUGGUCCUUUUCGGGCAGGUGAAAAUGUUUGCUAUAAAUGUGGUGCUCCAGAUCAUUUUGUACGAGAAUGUCUAGAAGUGGCUAGCCGAGAGGUAACACAGAGUGCUAGAUCCGGAAAUGCUCCUACUAGAGGCAGAUCACCGAGGCAACCGGGAGUAGGAGCAAGUAACAGAGGUACCUCUAGAGAUUCGGCUGUGAGAUCAGAUGUUAGAGCCCCUGCAAGGACUUAUGCUAUUCCUGCACGCGAAGAGGCAUCCUCUCCCGAUGUGAUUACGGGUACAUUUUCUCUAUAUGAUAUUAAUGUCAUUGCUCUGAUUGAUCCGGGUUUGACUCAUUCUUAUGUUUGUAUGAACUUGAUGCCUAGUAUAAGUAUGCUUAUAGAAUCUACAGAAUUUGUGAUUAAAGUAUCGAAUCCAUUAGGCAAGCAUGUAUUAGUAGAUUCUAUAGGAUCUACAUGCUUGCCUAAUGGAUUCGAUACUUUAAUCACAAAUUCUGUAGAUUCUAUAGGCAUACUUAUACUAGGAAUCAAUUUCAUACAAACAUAAGAAUGAGUUGAACCCGGAUCAAUCAGAGCAAUGACAUUAAUAUAAUGUAGAGAAAAUGUACCCGUAAUCACAUCGGGGGAGGAUGCCUCUUCGCGUGCACGAAUAGCAUAAGUCCUUGCAGGGGCUCUAACAUCUGGUCUCACAGUCGAAUCUCUAGAGGUACCUCUGUUACUUGCUCCUACUCCCGGUUGCCUCGGUGAUCUGCCUCUAGUAGGAGCAUUUUCGGAUCUAACACUCUGUGUUACCUCUCGGCUAGCCACUUCUAGACAUUCUCGUACAAAAUGAUCUGGAGCACCACAUUUAUAGCAAACAUUUUCGCCUGCCCGACAAGGACCAUAAUGAAGUCUACCACACCAUGGACACCCUGAUCUAUCCUGUCUGACAUUACUUGCACUCGUAGUCGAGGUGGUCUGAACCUUCGGAUCCUUAAAUCUGCUACCUCUAUUCUGACUAGAUUGCCCUGCCGAAAAGCUAGAUCUGGUAGAAAACUCUUUGGGCCUCUUGGAUGUAGCCUGAAAUGAUCUACUCAUCUGUCUUUUCUUUGUAUCUUGUGUCUCUGUCUCAACUUUGCCUUUUCUUUUUAAUAGCUCAUCUGCCUUACAGGCUCUCUCAACUAAAAUAACGAACUCUUUUAUUUAUAGGACACCCACUGACAGUCGGAUAUCAUCAUUUAAGCCAUCCUCAAACCUUUUACACAUGAUAGCCUCUGUGGACACACAUUCUUGAGCAUAUUUACUAAGCCUGACAAAUUCACGCUUAUAAUCGGUCACCGUUAUAUUGCCUUGUUUCAAUUCCAGGAAUUCCUUUCUCUUCUGGUCAAUAAACCUCUGACUGAUGUACUUUUUACGAAAUUCUUCUUGAAAGAAAUCCCAAGUGACCCUCUCUUUCGGUACAACUGAUACAAGUGUCUUCUACCAGUAGUAGGCUGAGUCUUUAAGAAGUGAUACUACACAUUUCAUACAUUCCUCGGGUGUACAAGAUAAUUCGUCAAAGACUCUGAUAGUAUUUUCUAACCAAAAUUCUGCUCUUUCUGCAUCAUCAUCUUUUGUUGCUCGGAACUUUUCUGCCCCUUGUUUCCUGAUUCUAUCAACUGGUGGCUUUUCUCUUACCACUGUACCUGUGACUGGGGAAGCUUGAGUUUCAUGGGUAGCCUGAGAAUCAUGAGGGGGUGGAGGUCUAACUGUCGGAUUCGUACGAACGAACUCGACAAAUAAAUCAUUCAAAGCUCGGAAGAGAGCUUCUCGAGUCACUCCUCCCUGAUCAACUAUUACUGGCCUAUUCUCAGAUGGCGCUGCCCCUUCUGCGGGAGCAGGUGCAUUACUUUCUACAUCAUCAUCACUAGCUCGCCCGGGAUCCAUUACUAUAAAACAUAAUAUUUAAAAAUCGUCAGGAGUCGUCACACUAUCAAAAUACAAGUAUGGCAUGUAUAGCUAGACUUUUUCUCACACUAACUGUUUCGAGAACCGACUAAACCUACUCUGAUACAAAUAAAUGUAACACUCCCACGCCCGAAACCGUCACCGGAGUCAAGCGUGAGGUGUUACUAAACUUAUCUUACCUUUUAAACAACUCUAAACCACUUAUUUUAAUUUUCAGAAUAAACUAUUUUUCUGCGUCAUGGUUGCUUAAAAAUUCAUUUCUCGAGUUUGAAAACUCGAAAUUAAGAUCCGUAAAUUUUUCCUGAAACUAGACUCAUAUAUCUAUCUACUAAUUUUUUUCUAGAAUUUUUGACUUGGCCAAUUAGUACAGUUUAUUAGUUAAAGUUUCCCCUGUUUCAAAACUCGAUUGCACUGACCUCUUCUUACUACGAACCAUGUUUCUUCCUGUAAAAAAUUCAUAUGACUAAGCCGUUUGCUUCUCUUAAAACUAGAAUCAACAAGGAUUAUAACCAUAUAAAGUACACAUUCUAAUUAGUUUUUUAGAAUUUAUGGUGAAUUUCCAAAGUUGAAAUAGGGGAUCCAGAAAUCGCUCUGACCAUGUUUCACUAAAACUCAGAUAUCUCAUAAAAUAUAAUACCUUUACCUGUUUUGCUUAUCCCAUAAGAAAAUAGACAUAAUAAAAUUUAAUUUCAUAUAUUAUUCAUCUUCAAACUAUGUUUCUACAAUUUUUAGUGAUUUUUUCAAAGUUACGUCAUUUCUGUUACUUGAAUCUGUUUUUAGGUUACCUUCACAUUUUUCAUAAUUUUCAUGUGAUAAUCACCAUUCAAUCAUACAUAUUAAUAAACAUGUAUAUGAUCGGUCAUUUUAUUAGCUAAUCACUAGCAAGUAUUUACACAUCAUUCAUUGUUCAUAUUAUACCAAAAGUAGCUAAGUUUCUAUACAUGCCAUACCCAAAACAAAACGUCUAAUUAUACCGAGUUAUUUCUUUGAUAGUGUGAUCGGCCUCCGACGUUUCCUUCGAUCCCCGAGUGGCUAGAUAAGUACUAUAAGAAGAAGAAAAUAAAGAGAUUAAGCACUAGGCUUAGUAAGCUUACAAGCAAAUAAAUCACAACAUUCAAUAUAAUGGAUAAUUAAGCAUAAUAUCAUCUAACAUCAUAAAUUUCUUUACUUCUCAAUUUCUAUCUUCUUCUUUAUUCCCUUACCUUCUUUCUUACCUAACCUUUCCUUUUUCAUAAAUAUUGUAACGACCCGAAUUUUACCGUUACCGAAAAAGUAUAUUUUCGGGUCUCUGUUUCUGAAAAAUGGAUUCGUAAAUAUUUAUUAAAAAUAUUUACGAAGUCAAUUGAGUGGUUAAUUAGAGUUUAAUUAAGUAAAUUUAGUUUAAUUAAGAGUAAUUAGGAAAAAUGACUAAAUUGAAUAAAGGAUGAAAGUUGAAUUGUAGAAUAAAAGAAAAUGAAGAGGACCAAAAUGGCAAUUAUGCCAUUUGUCCUAAGUGAGGGGGCAUAAACAUAAAAAUCUGAGAUUUUUUAUGUGUUAAAAUAUAUAUAUUAAAUUAUUAUUAUAUUAUAGUAUAUUAUAUUAUAUAUUAUAUUAUAUAAAUAAGUAAAGAAACAUAAGAAACAGAAUGAAAGCAAAUGAAACAGAGAAGAAACAGGGGAGAAAGAAAGAAAGAAAAAGGAAAAUUUGGGUUUCAAGGCUCAAAGUUUAAUUUGGUAAGUCAAUUAAGUCAUUUAUUCUUAAAUUUUGAUGUUUUAGAAGCUUUGGAACAAGACUUUGAUGAAAUUAAGUUGAUAUUUUGAGAGUUUAUAGAUUUUCAAGUAUAGUUCAUGUUGAAUAAAAUAGUGAAUUAAGGGUUUAAUUGAGUAAAUUUCAAGCUAGAAUUGAUAAUAGGAUCAAAUUGUAAAGUAAGUUAUAAGUUUUAUGUUGUAGGGACUAAAUUGAUGAAAUUUUGAAAUUAGGAAAGUAUGCUGGAAAUUUAAUAUUUAAAUGAGAGUAUGGAUGAAAUUUGAAUAGAAAUAAAGUAUGAAUUAAGAUAGAAAAGUAAGUGAAUUUAGUUAGAAUUAAAUUGAAAUUAAAGUAAAUCAACAUUUUGUACUAAGACUAUUUUGGACAGCAGUAGUAGUCUAAGUUUGAAAAAUCACCAAAAAUUGUAGAAAUUGAAUUAGAGAUGAAUAAAAUAUGAAAUUAAAUAUUAUUGAGUCUAGUUUCUUAUAGAAGAAACGAUAUAAGCAAUUGAAUUGUAAAUUAUGAGAUAUAAUGAAUUUUGUGAGACAAGGUCAGAAUGAAUUCGGGUUCCCCUAUUCUGACUUUGGAAAAUCACCAAAAAUUGAAUAAAAAUAAUUAGAGGCUUAAAGUUAUAUGUUUAGAAUCCCUAAUGAGUCUAUUUUCAUUAUAAAUCAACGAGAAUGUUAUCCGAGUUCUGUACUGUGAGAUAAUUAAUUUUUAGUGAAGAAGGGACGAAACUGUCAGACAGCAGAAUAGGGGUGAAUUUAAAGAAUAAACUGUACUUAAUGGCUAAACCAAAAAUUCUGAAAAUUUUAUUGUAAGAAGAUUUGUGAGUCUAGUUUCAGGAAAAAUUAGCGGAUCUUAAUUUAGAAUUCUAUAACUCAAGAUAUGAAUUAGUAAUGUAUUAAUGAUUAUGAAUUGUAUUAAUUUCGUAGUUAAUGUGGUACCAGAAAUCUCGGCUAAGAAAGGACAAGACAAAGUCAACGGGAGUUAGCUCGAAAAUUACGGUUUGUAUUUUUAUAAUCCGAACCUAAUACUUAAUUGUUGAAUUUAUUUCUUAAUAUGUAUAUUAAGUGUUUUGAAAUAAGAAUUAUUGUGUUUUGCAAAUGAAAUGGAUUGAUAUAGUAUGUGAUGAAAUUAUUGAAUUUAUAUUGAUUGAAUUGGCGUAUAUAUAUAGAUAUAUAUAUUGAAUAUUGAAUAUAUAUUGAUUAUUUGAAUUGAAUUGAAAUAUAAAUUGUUUGAAAAUUCUAAAUAUGAGAUUUGUGAUAUUUGGAUAUUUGUUAUUGAAAAGUGAAUUGAAUUGUAUUGAAUUAUGAAUUUAUGUGAUUAAUUAAAAUGUGUAUUGAUUGAAAAAAAUUGAAAGUGAAUUGAAUACCCUAUUAACAGUAUCGGACUGAGUCGGAUAUAGUUGGCAUGUCAUAGGAUUGGAAGUGUUCAGGGAUUCUUCGACCUCGAGUCGAUGAGACACUGGGUGUCACUAUAUUUCUUCGGAUAGAUUCGAUGAGGUACUGGGUACCAACUUUACUUCGGCUAGGCCGAUGAGACACUGGGUGUCAAAUAUUGCUUCGAACUAUCCGAUGAGGCACUGGGUGCCAUAUUGGUGUGUUUGGUUGGAUCCGUGUAUCCGCCAAGGUCCGAGUCUUGUUAAUAGGGGUAAAUAAGUGAAAAGAUAAGUCGAGUGAAUUUGAUUGAUUGAGCUAUUGGAAUGAAAUGAGAAAUUGAAUUGAGAAUUGAAAUUGAGAUAUGAGAUUGAAAACAUGAACCAAAAGGUUCAUGAAAUGAGUGAAGUUCAAAUGGAUGAUGAUUGAUGUUAAAAUGAAUUAAAAUGGUAUAUUGUUAAGAAAUAAAGUGUGAAAACAAGUGAAUUGUGAAUAUAUUGUAUAGAAUUUAUACGGUAAGUAAAUGAAAAGAAUUGAACAAAUAUGUUAUUGUGUUUGUUAUAUGACUUGUAUAGAAUUUAUAUGGUAAGUAAUUGAAAAUUUAUCUAUAAAACAAAUAAAUGAAUACUUAUAAUUGUUAUUGUGAUUUUAAGUUUAAUUGUUAUAUUAUUAAGUGUUCGAAUUAUGGAAAUACCAUUGAGUAUACCAUACUCAGCGUACGGUUUGUUUCCGUGCGCAGGUUUAGUAAAGAUAGAACGUUGAAUCAGCAUCCCAGUUCGAUCCCGAAUUCAUUAAGGUAAAGUGUGUUAAUUAUUGGUAAUGGCAUGUACCUAGGAUGUUUUAUGAGAGUCAUUUAGGUUGUAGAUGUACUCAUGAAAUGAGUAAAUUAUGGUUGGCAACGGUAUGUAGUAUGAAUUUUGAAAUUUACUAAAAAUUCGUAGUGAUUCUAAAUUAGUCCCGAAUUGAAUUUACUGUUCAUAUUGGACCGCGAGGGCCCAUUAAAGGGACGACAUCUUAAAACUAGGAUGUGUGUACAUAUUUAUUUUAAUUAAUGACCGAAAUUGGACUGUACUGACUGGUAAUAUCUCGUAACCCUGUUCCGAUGACGGUAUAGGGUUAGGGGGCGUUACAAAUAUAAUCUACUUUUCUUUUGUUGUUAAUUCACUGUAAUUUAACUCGUACCCUGACCCGUUGAACCACUCGGAAUACUAAGGAUACUAUGGUCGUUUCUGUCUUUCAAUAUCCUGCCAAUGUCAUGUCUUUGACAUGGACUUACAUGAAUUAUUCUUGUCUCCAAUGCCAUAUAUAAUAUGGACUUACAUGGCUCAAUCCUUUCUCCAAAGCCAUAUUUCUAAUAUGGACUUACAUGGCUCAUUUCUGUUCUGUCCUAUCAACCCUAAUAUCCUAACAUUCCUAGGGUUCAACCGGGGCUUUCUAACACUUUUCCUCUGUCACUUCACCUUAAAUUCGACUUUAAAUAUUUUCAUAACAUAAAUAUAUAAAUGCUGGAAAUUGACAAUAAUAAUGUAAAACAAAAGAAGAUUGCAUUUAUUUACUGUAACUUACCUUGAUACAAAAUGUGACUAAACAUUACAAUUUAGUCCUUUACUUUUUCUUUUCCCCGAUCUACUCCCGAAUUUCGUUCUUCUUGAUCUAUAAUAGCAAAUUUAACUUAUUUAAUAUUCACAUUUAUUAAAACAGUCCGUGACCCAAACUUUGGAAAAAAUUAUAUUUUUACCCCUAAACUUUCACAUAUUUUCACUUUUGCCCCAAGGCUCGUAAAUUAAACUUUAUCCUAUUUUCUUAUGUUUUAUGACAUGCUGAUCAUUUUUCCCUUCUAUGGCAAUAUCAAAAUCACACUCUAACAUAUACUUAUGACUAUUGGUAUUUUUUUUCGAUUUAAGCCCUUUUACUCGUUUUCCCUUAAAACCGAGUAGCAUAAGUUGUUUAACAUAAUUUAAAACCUCAUAUUCUAUCAUAAAACACCAAAAUACACAAAUUUCAGCUAUGGGUAUUUUUCCAAAUAUGAACCCUAGGUUGAAUUAUUGCUAGAAUAAGCUUAAUCAAGUUACCGGGACUCCAAAAACGUAAAGACCAUUAAAAACGGGGCUUAGAAUCACUUACUAUGAGGCUUGAAAGUUGAAGAAACCCCAGCUAUGGAGGAGAGCAAAAAUCGGCAGAAACUAAUUGAGAAUAUGACCAUUUUUGUGUUAUUUUUCCCUUUUUAAUUCAUUUAAUAUCAAAAUGACCAAAUUGCCCCUCCUUACUAAACUUUCAAAAAUUCCUUCCAUGUCUUAAUUUUUGUCCAUGAACUUAAAAUUGGUCAAAUUAUUAUUUAAACUCUCCUAAUUAAUAUUCCAAAGAAAUUUCAUACUAAAAACUUCUAGAAUGCAAGUUUUGCAAAUUAUUCGAUUUAGUCCCUAACCUCAACUUAAGCACUUUAUGCAUAGAAUUUCAUCACGAAAUUUUCACACAAUCAUGCAAUCAUACCAUGAACCUCAAAAUAAUAAUAAAAUAAAUUUUUCUACCUCAGAUUUGUGGUUUUGCAACCACUGUUUCGUUUAGGCCCUAUUUUGGGAUGUUACACUUGUAGCCGAAGCUACCACUAUUCACUGAUCAGGUAGCCGGAGCUACCACUUUUCACUGAUCAGGUAGCAGAAGCUACCACUUUUCACUUGUUAUUUGUCCUUGAUCAGAUAAGUGUAGCCGAAGCUAUCACUUAUCACUUUCAUUUGUCCUUGAUCAGAUAAGUGUAGCCGAAGCUAUCACUUAUCACUUGUUGCCAUGGUCCAACCAUGGUAUUUUCCUUCAAUUCAUCUUGUCACUGAACUGAAAUGCUGAACUUGAUCAUUUAUUCAAUUUUCAUGCUUUUACAUUAUUCACGAUUUUAUCAUCAAUACAUAUGAAACAACACAUCAUGAAAUUCAUAAAAUUAAAAAUAAUCACUAAAAUUUAGCCAUAUAAACUCACAAGUUCAAUUUUUGUAUUAUAACGAUAAUCAUAAUUUUAUAAUAAAUAUUCCAAAUAAAACAUUAUAUCAUUUCUAAUCCAACACUUAUCGAUUAUAAUCGAGCAUGUGAUCAAUUUAUACACGAGUCAUUCAUAUAUUUUUCCUCCUCCUCCUCUCCAUCCACAUCCUUGGUAUAAAUAACACACUUGUAAGUAACCUUAUCCAUAAUUUUCACUAAUUACUUAUGUGAAUAUUCAGACUACCCACCCAUGUCGUAGUCACUAAAUUAUUUAUAUCUGGAGCUACGGAACUCAAAAUUAAGAUCCGCUAAUUUUAUUUGAAACUAGACUCACAUAUAUUCUUGCCAUAAAAAUUUAUAAAUUUUUGGUUGGGCCAAUUAAUACAGUUUAUUCAUUGAAGUCUCCCCAGUUCUGCUGUUUGACAGUUCCGACCCUUCUUCACUAAAAAUUAAUUAUCUCCUCGUACAGGAUUCGAAUGAUGUUUCCUUUUAUUUAUCUUGAAAAUAGACUCAUCCAGGAUUUUAAACAUAUAAAUUUAAGCCCAUAAUUAUUUUUAUCCAAUUUUUUAUGAUUUUACAAAGUUAGAACAGGGGAACCUGAAAUUAUUCUGACCUUGUCUCACAAAAUUUAUCAUAUCUCAUGAUUUACAAUUCCAUUGGUUACAUCAUUUCUUCUAUAAGAAACUAGACUCAAUAAGCUUUAAUUUCAUAUUUUAUUCAUCCUCUAAUUCCAUUUCUACAAUUUUUGGUGAUUUUUCAAAUUUGGACAACUGCUGUUGUCCAAAACAGUUUUAGUGCAAAAUGUUGAUUUCCAUUUUGCCCCAAAUUUCACAAUUCAUACAAUUGAGUCCUUGCUCAAUUAACCCCUCAAUUAAGAUAAUUUUCUCAAUUAAUACUUUUCCUAGACAUUAUAAGUUAUUUCAUAACUAUUGAAAUUCAUAAUUUCUACAUAAAACUCCAACUUCAAACUCUUUUACAAUUAGGUCCCAAACAUUCACUUUCUAUUCAAUUCUUUCAAUAAAAUCAGCAUAUAAACAAUUUAAAGCUCUAAUUCCAUGCCAAAUCAUUAUAUACUUCCAGAAAAUAUUCAUAGCAACUUUCAAUUUCUUUCAUAGAAUCAAAAACUAAUGAAUUUAACAAGUGGAUCUAGUUGUAAAAGUCACAAAAACACAAAAAAUUCAAGAAAUAAUCAAUAAUUGAACUUACUUGAAGUAAAAACUUGAAGUAAAAAUAUGAAAAAACCAGCUUAAGGGAACCCUUCCAUGGUGUUUUUGCUGAUGAGAAUGCAGAAAAAUAAAGAUAAAUCUAGAUAAUUCCACUUUAGUCCUAGCUUUAUUAAGUAAAUUUUGCAAUUUUCCAAUUUUUCCCUUAAUUCUACUUAUUUUCUUGCUGAUUUCAUGCCAUUGCCAUCCAGCCCAAAGAGACCUUGGGUCUAUUUCCCUUUUAAACCCUCUUUCUUUUAUCAUUUAAGCUAUUUAAUCAUUUUCCAAAAUUUUGCAUUUAAUACAAUCUAGUCCUUUUUGUUCAAUUAACUAUCAGAACUUUAAAAUUUCUUGACGAAACUUUAAUACUGACUUAUUAACACUCCAUAAUUAUUUAUAAAAAUAUUUAUGGCUUGAUUUAAAAUUCCUGAGGUCUCGAUACCUCGUUUUCGAUUCUAAUUAUUUUAAUAUUUAUUUUUAGUACACUAUUCACUACUUCAAAAUUUUUCCUAACUUCACAUUUAAAUUAUACUCACUAAAUUAAUAAUAUUUCCUACUCAUUUGUCGGAUUUAGUGAUCUCGAAUCACUGUUCCGACACCACUGAAAAUUAAGUUGUUACAAAUUGCUCAACCACUUUUUUUUUUUAAUUCGUUACAUGUAAAUUACCAACAACGUUUAAUAAUUUUUACUCAAUUUAUAAAGUAAGAUGAACAAAUAUUGAUGGAAUUAAAGUAAAAGGACUAAUUUCUUAAUUUUUAUAAAGUAAAGGGAUGAAAUUUAGAAUUAGACUUUUUAAUUUGUAAUAUUUUUUCAGCCAUAUUUUGUGUAAUCGUCACUCUUUGAGAUAUUUAUAUAGAUGGAUUUUUUUUAUUACUAUCUAUUAGUUGUGCUUUAAUUUUUUAAAGUUCUUAUCCACUCCAACAUGGAUUUGCUUCCAAUCUAAGGUCAUCAAAACUUUGUUUGUUUCCAAUCAUCAUCGUUCAAUUUAUUUGGUCAAAUUAUUUUUUGGUGGCUCUAUUAUGCUCAAAUUUGAAAUCUAGCCCUUGUGUUUUAAUUGGGACAAUAUACUUUUUGGUUAUUGAAUUUGGCAACUAGUCUUACUUUGGUACUUGUAUUUUUUUUAUCCACUUUGGCACAUGAACUUGACAACUAGGUACAUUUCGGUCCUUGAACUUAAAAAAUAUAAAAGUUUGAUGAUGUAGUACCCUGAUAUUACACCAUAUCGUUACCUGAAAAUUUAUAAAUUUAAUAAUUGAUCCAAUGCUUGAAUAGAUCCGACCAUCAAUUCUCGAUUCAACCAAUUCACUUGAUUCGACCAUUAGACCAACAAAUGAUUAAAAAAUUCAUAAAAAUCUAAAAAACUAAAUUUAUAAAAAAAACUAUUAAACUGGUUCAGCCGGUUCAAACUAUCGUCCAGGUUUUCAAUCUUUUCCAAUUUAAAGUAGUUUUUUAUUCAAUUGGUUCAAGCCUUUUGCUUGAACUAUUAUAUUGAUAUGUUCUUGAUUUGUUCGAUCCAGUCUUAUUUCAAUAACUUUGGUCACAACGUCAAAUCUUGACAUAAUCCACAUUUAAGGACUAAAAUGGAUUUGGUUGCCAAGUUCAAAGACCAAAGUAGACCCAAAAAAAUUACAAAUAUCAAAGUAAACCUAGUUGCCAAGUUCAGGGGACAAUAGUUAUAUUAUCCCAUUUUAACUUGAUAUACUUUAUCAUUUAUUUAACCACAUCAUUAAUGCAAACACAUGUUUAAAUUUCAAUUACAUGUUCUAAAUACGUUUCAUGUCAAUUUCAAUCUAGCAUUUCACACCUAAUAUGACAAAUAGAUUGAUGGAAGGAUUUGGUUGAGACGAUAUUAAUAUUUAAAGGAUUCAAUUAGAAUGUUUUAAAAUUUUGAGAUCAAUUUAAAACAUGUGAAUUUAGAGACUCUAAUGAAAUUAACCCUUUUCCUUUCGUAGUUUUAUAUGGAUAAACAAAAACAUAUGGCGGGUCAUUGGGGCUCUUUGUGCACAAUUGGAUUAUGAAAACAAAAAAUUUAAGGUUGGGUGUUAAAAUUUUAAAUCAAAUUAAAAUCAAGAUAUGAGUAGAGAUAUUUAUAGGUCGAGUUUAACUGUUUAAGUAUAAUAUUAGUAAAUUUUAUAUUUGUUCAAGCUUUAUUUGGUCCGGCUCAAAAUACAUGUUUAAAAUUUUGUUCAGAUCUACUCAUAUUUACAAAUUUUGAACAGUUUCAUUACAAGUUCUAAUUAUAUUUGUUCGUUUUGACACAAUGUCUAAAACGAAGCGUAACCAUCCCUAGUCCAUAAACAAGAGAAUAACAUGCUUUAAUGCAUUCGAACUCAUGUCCUCCUGCAUUGGCAAUAAUAUCCAUACCAAUCAAACUAAGACUCAAUCGACUUAUUUAUUAAAAUUUAUAUAUAAUUAUAUUAAUUUUUUUUGAUAUUUACAUUAUAGUAGUAUUAUAUAUUACUAUAGGUGUAAUUUUUAAAUGUUAAAAAUAACGUAAUAUUUAAAUAUAACAUAAUAUAAAAUAUUAUAAACUUAAAAAAAUGACUGAACCAGAUUAGGUUCGGGCUUUAAAUACUCAAGCAUGAGUCCGGCCCAUAUUUUAAAUGGGUCUAUUUUUUUUACUCAAACUUAUUUUUUAUAUCUAAUAUUUUUGUUCAAACCCUUUUAAACUUCAAAUAAACUUUUAAACAUAGAUAGAUAAUCUAAUUCACAAAUAAAUCGAAUAUUACUUCAAAUAAACUUUUAAACAUAGAUAGAUAAUCUAAUUCACGAACAAAUCGAAUAUAAAAAAUGGCAUAAAAAAAAUCUUCCCCCGUGACAUCACCCAUGAAAAACUCUAUCUAGCACUUAUAUUACAAGUUGAUAUCGAAGACAUUGGAACAUUCUUUAUAUAGCCCCGUUGGUAUGAUUUAAUCAUCCAACAUUUACACAUAUAUGUUGUUUGCUUAUUAAUGAAGAAAACCAGCCCAAUUAAUUAAUCAUGUUGUAAUUUUUAUCAAACAUAUUUUUAGGUAAUCAUAUAAAGAUAUAUCUCUUUAAAUACUUGAAAAUUCAUGAAAAAAAAAACUUAAAUUUUAAUUAUAGAAAUAUAAAAUUUUAUAUUUUUAUUCGGUACUUACAUACUCAAAUUCCUAUUUAAGAUUUUUAGUGCUUAAACUAAAUAAAAUUAUAAACAAAUUUAAUCUCACUUGUCAUCUUAAUAACAUUUUAGAAGUGUGAACGAGACAUCUGUGUUUGACAAAAAAAUAUAAAUAACUCAAAUUAUCGAGUCAACUAAGUUCAAUAUAUCACUAUAUACUCUGAGCAACUUGUAAAUCUAAUCAAGAUUUUUUUUAAUUUAUAAAUAUAUAUUUAAUAUGUUGAUAUUAAUCGAAUUUGAACUAAGCUUCAAAUAAAACAUUUCAAAAUAAACUUCUCAUCUGGAUUUGAUUACAACCCUACAUUAAUUGUAUUUUUUUAUAAAUAUAUCAAUGUUAUGAGUUUGUUUUUCUUCACCAAAUUAAGUUGAGACCCCAAAUUUUAUAUCUUUUAACAUCUGGUAUUUGGAAAAACAAAACUCACAAACAUUUGAAUUUUAUUUUCGUCAAACAAGUUCAUUUAAAAAAAAAAGUUUCAUUGAGUGAAUAAUAAUUGGUGGACUAUAAAAAAGUCAACUUGUCAUGUUCGUUGAAAAAUGAUCGGCAAGUGGGAACACAAAACACUGGUCAACUAAGUCAGCUCUCAUUUAAAAAACAAUAAUAAUAAUUUAAGUACGCAUUUUUUAAAACAGAAUAGAAAAUAUUUAAUUAAUUAGUUCUAUUAAUUAUAAUUUAGAAAACGACUUCCAAUUUAUUUUAUAAUUUAUUUUUUAAAAAAUGUAUGUGAUCUGUUUCAAAUUUCAACUCUUUUUAUUACAAAAUUAACAUGAAUUAAUUAAACUAGUGUGAACUCAAAAUACUGGUCAAUCAAGUCAACAAUUUAUUUUUAAAAAAAUAACAAAUUACUAAUAAUCAUUUAGUUUGGCAUGUGUAUUUUUUAUAUUCUAUUAAAAUGGUUUUAAAUUUUAAUUAUACUAAUUAAUCUAUAUAAUUUCCCGGAUAUCAUUUAUUUGAAAAACUACAUAACAUUAAAAUAUCUUGUCCGUAUUUUCUUUGACUUGUAAUUAAUGUCAAUUAUAAUUGUCACCGACCAUUUUUUUGCUAAAAAAAAAAGAUGUCUUAGAAUUAUAGCUUUUGUUAUAAUUAUAGUAUAAUCAUAUAAUUUAAACUAAAAUAGUUAUAAAAAUAAAAUAUCACGAGAUCCUUGUGUUAAUGUCAAUUUACAUUUUGCCUCAUUUAUUUAAAAAAUGAUUAAAUUAAUCUAAGUAUAAAAUAGAUGAAUUUUUUAAUAAAACGAUCAGAUUAUUCUUUGAUCAAAUGUGCAUUAAUUAAUUUAUCAAUUUUUGAAUAAAAAAUGUCAAAUACGAUCUGAAUCUUAAUAUAAUAGCUUCCAUAAUAAUUUUAUUAUAGAUAACUAAUACACAAAUGAAAUUCAAACCUAAAUUAUUAUUGAUAUUUAGAUUAAUUUUAUGGUCCGAAUUAUUAUUAUAUCUACAUAGUUAAUUUUUAAACAUAUAUUAUUUAAAUUGUUAAAUAAUAAUCCGAAUUAUAAAUCAAUUUGAAUUAUGCAACUUAUGAUGUAAGGCCGGAUCCAGACUCAUACAUAGUUUGUUUGCAGUUACCCUUUUUGGUAAUUUCGCAUUGCCUUCUCUCCCAUUCUAACGAACCUUCUUACCAACUUUUCCUUUUGCCGACAUGUCCCUCCCACAGAUUUAUUUGGAAACCAAUGACCACUCUCCAUCUAAAACAAUUUACAUAUAUACUAAGAAUAAAUUUAAAAAAAAAUUAAAUUGAAUUAAAAUAAUAAAAUAAAAUUCAUCCAUUUUAAUAAUUUAAAAUAAAUUUUAUUCGAUUCAAUUUAAAUAGAUCUAACAUUCAACCUAAAAGGUUCGAGUAUCACUAUAUUCAAGUUUUUCUAAAUUUAUUUUAACGUAAAAAUUAUAACCUUAAUUCAUAAAAUCUGUUACCAUUUCUUCCCAUCAUCUAUGGGUUGAUAUUGAAUAAAAAUUAACAUUUAAAAUCAUAUUUAAUAUUUAUUUAAUAUCGAAAUUAUAUUUAAAUUUAUUUAAUUUUGGAUCCACCAUUUUUAUUCCAAAGUCCAAACCGAGUGGUGUAAUUUCUUUUUAAUAACAAAAUUAUUUUAAAAAAUCACACGGAAACAUGAAAAGUCAACGUCAACGUCAAAUCUAAAUCGCUUAUUAUACCGCGUUCACACCGUCGCUAAGACACGCGCUUCCUUAGACACAUCUCCAACCGCGUUGGCUACCAUACGUAUAUAUAUAAAUCCUGCGUUCCCAUCUUCAAUUUCAAAUUCAUUUUUGCGUUCAUAUUUCGUCAAACCAAAAAUCAAACCCCAUAAAUUAUUUCAUGGAAAUUGGGUCUUCCCAAUUCUUUGCCGCUGAAGUUCUUGCUUAUAACAACACCGGCAUCAUCACCGGCACCGGCGGAGGAGACGGCGGCAAUUUUUAUUGGUUUCAGGAUAUGGAAGAUGACAAGAAAAGGAGUGGAAACAACGAGUUUAUGGAUUUACAUUCUUCGAUUUCGCUAUUCGAUGCUGAAAUGAAGCACGAGCAACUUCAGUGGUUUACUGAUCCUGAUCAAGGAAGAGGAGCUGUUUUUGAAUCGAAUUACAGUGAAACGAAUGAUUAUUUCGAUCAAAUUCAAAGUCAUUACACUGAAAUCGAUGAAUUUGAUGAUUCACGGAAGAAACGCGCGAGAAAAUCAAGUUCACCGGUAUCUGUUCCGGCGACGGAGGAUUCAGGUCCAUCGCAAUCAGGCGGAACAGGACGGCGGUUAUGGGUGAAAGACAGAUCCAAAGACUGGUGGGAGAAGUGCAACCACCCGGAUUUUCCCGACGAGGAAUUCAAACGCGCGUUUCGAAUGAGCAAAUCGACGUUCGAUAUGAUUUGUAAAGAGCUUGAAUCAACGGUGAUGAAAAAGAACACGACGCUCCGCGAUGCGAUACCGGUUCGUCAACGCGUUGCGGUCUGCAUUUGGCGUUUAGCCACCGGUGAACCGCUCCGAAUGGUAUCAAAACGGUUCGGUUUAGGAAUUUCAACUUGCCAUAAGCUAGUUUUAGAGGUUUGUGCCGCCAUUAAAACUGUUUUAAUGCCUAAAUAUGUCCAAUGGCCCGAUGAAAACAAAUUAAAUAAAACCAAAUCGGAGUUCGAAUCCGUCACCGGAAUCCCAAACGUCGCCGGCGCUAUCUACACCACUCACGUCCAGAUCAUCGCUCCAAAAUCCAACGCCGCCGCAUAUUUAAACAAGAAACAAACGGAGAAAACCCAAAAACAAUCGUAUUCCAUCACACUCCAAGGUAUCGUAGACCCAACCGGCGUUUUCACUGACGUUUCAAUUGGUUGGCCUGGUUCAAUGUCCGACGAACAAAUCUUCGAGAAAUCGGCGUUUCAUCAAAGCGCCGUUAAAGGCCAAGUAAAAGGCGUUUGGGUAGUCGGAAGUACAGGGUACCCAUUAAUGGAUUGGGUUUUAGUUCCUUACGCUCAUCAAAAUCUAACUUGGACUCAACACGCAUUCAAUGAGAAGAUCGAAGAGAUUGAAAAAAUGGGUAAAGAAGCAUUUGCGAGACUGAAAGGAAGAUGGUCGUGUUUGCAGAAAAGGGCUGACGUUAAGCUUCAAGAAUUGCCGGCUGUGCUCGGCGCUUGCUGUGUUUUGCAUAAUAUUUGUGAGCUUCGAAAUGAAGAAAUGGAACCCGAGCUUAAAAUUGAAAUUUCCGAUGAUGAAGUCGUGCCGGAGAAUAAUUUGAGAUCCAUGGUUGCCGUUCAAGCUAGGGAUUAUAUUGCUCAUAAUUUGCUUCACCAUGGCCUUGCCGGUACCGGUUUUCUAUAGUGAUUUCAUUAUAUUAUCCUUAGUUAAAAAAUUUUGUAUUUUUUUUAGUGUGUAGUCCAAUAAUAAUAGGUAGAUAGGCAGAUUUUGAUUGCAUUUUUUGGGGGUAUGGAAUAAAAAAUUCUAUUUGACUUUUUAGUUAAUUAAUUUUUAUUGACUUUUUUAAUAAAUAAAUUUAAAUUUUGUGGAUUAAAAAAUAUUGGAAGAACUAAUUUAUUUUCAAAUUAUGUUACAUAAAACGAAACAAUUGACCACUUACAAUUUAAUAGUUUAUGUUUUGUUGAUUGUAUUAAUAUUUUCUUUAUCAUAAAAAAUCAUCAAAAAAAUAUUCUCUG
RNAcentral lists this long non-coding RNA (62179 nucleotides) under Gossypium barbadense (sea-island cotton). RNAcentral's name for it is "long non-coding RNA (GBAR_LNC007819)". The stretch from base 33152 to 33297 matches the Rfam family "MIR7502 microRNA precursor family". Lineage: Eukaryota; Viridiplantae; Streptophyta; Magnoliopsida; Malvales; Malvaceae. The record is from RNAcentral.